This 61949-nucleotide long non-coding RNA is filed under the name Phoenix dactylifera (date palm). RNAcentral's name for it is "long non-coding RNA (PDAC_LNC004782)". The record is from RNAcentral. Lineage: Eukaryota; Viridiplantae; Streptophyta; Magnoliopsida; Arecales; Arecaceae.
UUGUGUUUGAGUGCAAGUAAUUCAAGAGACUCUAUAACAUUGGGUUUGAGCUCAGCUCAUCCCAGCGUGCCAGCCAGCAACAGCCCGUGCCGUGCCAUGCCUCAGCGUAUCAGCCCAUUCCAAGCUUCACGCGAUGAAGGUCCCAACCGAAGCCAUGCAGUCCCCAUGUCAAGCUCGUCUCCGUUCCUUCCGGCCGUUUCGAGCAAACACAUGUCCGAGCUCAAGUCAAACCAACAUCUUCACGUGAUGGAGCUCAUCCCGUGAUUCAGCCAUCCGUGAAUCACACCCCCCCCCCCCCCCCCCCACUCCACCGGAUCCACGUUCUCCUCCUCUUCCGUAAUCUAGCCUCCCACGCCCGUCCGCGUGAUCCAAGCAUCGCGCUCAGCCGCUCNNNNNNNNNNNNNNNNNNNNAAUCGUCGAGUUUAUUUGUUGAAAGUAAAAUUGUCAAGGGAGAUUCUGGAUCCCUAGCCAUCUUCAUAUUAUCGAACUUUGUUUAAUUAUCCAUUAAUUCUCUGUUUUUAAUUUUUAAAUAUCAACUAAAAAUCACAUCUAAAAAUUACGCUAAUAAUCCAUAGAUCGUUCCCUGAGGAAUCGACCUCGGACUUCUGAGUUAUACUACUUGUGCGAUUCUCCUGCACUUGGGAGAACAGUUUUAUUUUUGCACCAAAGCUCGGUACAUUCGUCUCCGCAUAUGUGUGUCUAGUAUGUCGCCCCCUUUAAACUACGAGUGCUCGAAUAGAUAUUAUUUAGGUUGCUCAUGUAUUUGAAUCCUUGUUGUAAUUGUUUGAUUUAAUUUGAGUAAGGCAUGUAUUAUUGCUUGACACACCAUUUAAUUUAUCACGCACAUAGUAAGGGCAAUCACCCCAACAAGAUAAGAAUUGGAUUUCAUCACCAGAUUUUUACCCAAAUUAGGUGAACCAAUUCUCACAUAGCUAUCACUUUAAUUAAAAUCAAUUAGACGUUGGCCCCUAGGGACAUUCGAGCUCAAUAGGACGAAGAUCACCAANNNNNNNNNNNNNNNNNNNNAACAGAGGAGAAGCUCUAUUUUCCGAGAAGAAGAAAAAAAAAUUAUAUAUUGUACUCUUUCUUUUAGUGUUCCACCGUGAAGGAUUAUUUGUUCCUUGUUUUUAUAUUUUUUUCUUCUUACUUUUGUAAGCACUUGUCCUUUUAUGCAAUCCAUAAAUUUAUUUUAUGCAAUCUAUGUUCUAAGUUUCAGUUUAAUUCUUGCAAUUUAUUUUAUGUGUACUGAAAAUCUUAUUUUUAAGAUAAUACUGAAAUGUUUUUUUUCUCUUUGCUGUUUGACCGCUACUCUGCAUUAGAUUUCAAUUACAAAAUUUUCCUUCUUUCCUUUGUUUAUUUUCAAAUAGAAAAUAUUCUCUGGUAGACUAGAGAAUCAUUCAACAUCCCCGAAGUAAUGUUUUUCUUUUGUUAUUCAAAAAUUGAUUUUGAAUCCAGUAAACGUUUUGAUUUUUAUGCAACUCCAAUCGCCUCCCUGUGGAUCGAUCUCUUACGACCACUAUUCUUCGAAUAGAAAAGAUAAGAGUAUAAUUAAAUUAAACUUUGUUUGUCGAUUCUAACAACGAUCUGUUUAGGUAUUUUUAGGUAAACAGAAAAUCGGACAACAAAAUUUUGGCGCCGUUGUCGGAAAGGAAAAUCGAGAAGCAAGAACGAUCACGAAGAUCAAAUCGAAUUUUAGAUGCUCGGAGUGAACGCACUCCGGUAGUAAUUUUUUUUUAAAAAAAAAAUUUCUUGUUUUGAUUAUUUUUAGUUAAUAAUUUUGUAGUUAUUAAAUUCUGAAAUUUGAAAUUUGGAAUUUAAAAUUUUUUUAAAAAAAAUUAAAAUUCAAAAAAAAAAUUAAAAAUUAAAAAAAAAAUCCUAAAUUCUAAAAUUUAAGAGUUUAAAUUCAAAAUUUGAAUUCUGAAAUUCAAAAUUUGAAAUUUAGAAAAAAAGAAAAAAAAAUUUUGCUUGCUCAUUUAAUCAGUACAACUUAAUGACAUUCUAUAAACUUUAAAAAAAUCAUUGAAUAUUUGCUGCAUUUAGUAUUAAACAUUUGCAUAAAAUAAUUUAAGGGCAAAACCCAUUAAAAAGAUAAGGUCGGAAAAUCAUUACAUGUCCUUAGCCCAAAAAUCACCACCUUGCAUACAUAUCCUAAGCCAAAUUAAAUUAAAAUCAAUUAGACGUUGGCCUUAGGGUUUUCGAGCUCAAUUAGGCUCUUGAAAAGAAGCGGCUGAAAGCCACUCCAGUGAGAAUUUAGUAAUUGGUGAUGUCUAGAAAAGUUUUACAAUAGUGAGAACUGUUACGGAUAUUGUGGUAUUUGUGUAUCCCUUCUGGCACCACCACAUACCCCAGAACUUUCCUGGUCACUGGUUACUGGAUCGCUUAACUGGUAAGCUCAAGCUUAAUCUGAAAGGGAGAUUAGGAGCUGUCUAAUCUAGGAGAGAACUUUAGGAAUUUUUACCUAAUAAUUCUCCACGCAACUAGAUUUAAGAAGCUACUAAACCUCACUUAAUUCUAAGACUAAUAGAGUCAAAUUGUUGUGUGGUGUUGGUUGUGAUCAUCUCUGUUUAGCCCUUCUUUUCUCUUAGAAUUUCGUUCAUUUUAGGAGUCAAAUCUAAUAAAUUGUUGAUAAUGUAUGCAUGGUAGAAGGUCAUUAAGGGGUAAGUUAACACCAUUUGAUCCUGAGAUUGACAGAACUUUUCAUCACAAUCAGCGAAUUGUAAGCCAACCGUCAAUCUCUACAAUGGGUGAACAUAUUAGAACUUUGAAUGAGUUGUUCGCACCCACAUCCGCUAGUCCCCCUACUUGCAUAGUAUUACCAAUUAAUAAUGCAGCCGAAUUCGAGAUUUGGACUGCAACAAUAAACAUGUUACCCAAAUUUCAUGGAUUUGAGAGCGAACAACCGUAUAUUCAUCUAAACAAAUUUUUGACAAUCUGUCAAAUGUUUAGAAAUCAAAACUUAGAUGAAGAGGGUAUUAAACUAAGGUUGUUUCCCAUGACUUUAGAUGAUCGUGCUGCUGCAUGGCUGUAUUCUCUUGCUUCAAAUUCCAUCACAUCAUGGGAACAACUAUUUAGGAAGUUUAUGGCUAAGUUCUAUCCCAUGGUAAAGACUGAAAAAAUUAAGGAUGCCAUCAUAACUUUUAGAAAAAAAUCUGAGGAGGAAUUUUUCCAACUUUGGAAAAGAUUCCAUGAUCAAAAUGGUCAAGUGUCCGCACCAUGGGCUUGACAAGGCUAAUCUAGUACAUUUUUUUUACAAAGGAUUACCUCCAGCACAUAGGAACAUGAUUGAAUCCAUGCAUAAGGGUAGGUUCAUGAACCAAACCCCUGAUUAAGCCUAUGAGUUCCUUGUGGACUUAGCUAAAAAUGUCCAAAAUUGGAGUAGCUACGGUCAGGAGAUAGAUAGAGAUGAUUAUGGGUCUAGAGAACCAAGUACCUACGGAAUAAAAAUAGAUCCAGAACUCAAAAAUGUCAUGUCUAAUCUGGUGAAUGGGGUGAAUAAUCUAAGCAAAAAGUUGGAUGCUUUUAUAGUUUCCACUAACUCAAACUCACAAAAAGAGUCAAAUCCCAUCAUGAAAGAGGAACAUGAGCCACAAGGCUUAUGCAUCUUGUGUAACAGUUUGGAGCAUCUAGUGGAGUGUUGUCCUAGUUUAUCCAACAUUAAGGCUGAGCAGGCAAAUGCUCUAAAUUCAUAUAAUGCCUUUAAGAAACCCACUCCCAAUUCAUUCAGCCCAGUUUAUCACCCUGAUAAUAGGUUUCACCCGAACUUCUCAUACAGGCAGACUGAACCUAUUCAGCAUCAGGGUGGUCCACCAGAUUUUCAGAAAAAUUUUCCUAGGAUAGGUCCACCACAGAUGAACCAAUCAUUAGCUCCACCUAUCCCUCCUUAUAGUGCCCCUAUCCCUCAGCAGUCUACAUCGUUGGAAGCCAUGAUGGCUAACAUGAUGAAGCAGCAACAAGACUUCAUCCAACAGCAACAACAGACCAAUAUGGCUCAAACGCAGACUAACCAAUUUCAUGCGCAAGCGAUUGCAAAACUUGAGGUUAGUCUGAGCCAAAUAGCUAACUUUCUAAGGGAUAGGAAGAGAGGUGAAUUACCCAGUCAGCCAGUGCCUAACCCUAGUAGGCAACAAAAUCAAGGUCAGAGAGGUCAGUAUCAAAUCAAUUCUAAUAAAAAUCCGACCUAUGAAGUCCAAGCAAUUACCACUUUAAGGUCUGGCAAGCAAGUGGACAAUAAAGUCCAACUUCCUGAAUACGUAAAAGAAAAUAAGAAUGAAUCCAAUAAGAACCCUAUUCAAAAGAGGGGUUAAGAACAGAACAAAAAGGAAGAACCCAUAGAAACACACAAACCUAAGGUUCCCUUUCCCAGUAGACUUCAGGACUCUAAGAAACAAUCUAACUUUGAUGAAAUAAUGGAAGUCUUUAAAACUGUUCAAAUAAAUAUACCUUUUCUCGAUGCCAUACGAUAAAUUCCCUUCUAUACAAAAUUCUUGAAAGACCUCACCACGGUCAAAAGAAAAACUAGCAUUCCUAGGCAAACUGUUAUGGCUGCACAAACCUCAUCUCUCAUUCAACAACAGAUUGCCCCAAAAUUUAAUAAACAUGGUUGCCCCACCAUUGAAAUAAAAAUAGGAGAGACGAUUAUCCAGAGAGCCCUAUUAGAUUUAGGAGCCAGUGUGAACCUACUUUCCUACUAUGUGUACCAAAAGUUAGGUUUGGGAGAAUUAAAGCCCACAAAUAUUACCCUUUUCUUAGCAGAUAGGACGGUGAAGUACCCCAAGGGGAUUGUAGAAGAUGUAAUAGUGAAGGUAAACGAGUUUUACUAUCCUGUGGACUUCGUUAUCCUUAAGACCGAACCUGUAAUACAUCCAGACAGUCACACACCUAUAAUUUUAGGUAGACAUUUUUAGUCACAGCAAAUGUUGUGAUAAAUUGUCGAAAUGGCAUGCUAAAGUUAUCUUUUGGCAAUAUGAAAGUCGAGCUUAAUGUCUUCAACAUAAAUAAACAACCACCAGACGAUAAAAAAAUCAAUGAAGUUGACAUAAUUGAAAGUCUGGUUCAGAAGACUUUCUUACAAACUUAUAGUAAGGACCCUUUAGAAGCUUAUCUUGCCCAUUCCGAGGAAGGGGUCGAGCAUGCGCUCCCUAAUUCUGUUCCCCUUAUGAGCAUAGAUCAUCAUCGGCCGACUGUUCUUCCUCGGACUCUUUCAAAACCAUUCUUAGAUAAUGGCUAAAAAAAAUGAAUCUACAUUUUGUCUGGCUGAAGACAUAAAACUUAGCGCUCUUGAAAGCCAACCCAACAUGUAAAUAUUAUUAAAAAAAUAAAAAAAAUUUACUAACAUACAGGUUUAGGGGUUUUUGCCCCAAUUGUCAAUUUACCUACCCAUAUCAGGUAACUUCUUCUCUGUCCUAUUACUGCUUUAAAUUUUCUUUAACAAUAAGGACAAUAUUAGAUUUAGGUUUGGAGGUAUUUUUAAGCAUUUAAAAAAAAUAAAAAAAAUUAAUUUCAGUACAACACACAAGGUAUAUAAAAUCUAAAGCCCAAUGACUAGUCGGAAGUAGUGCAAAGUGAGUUCUUUUUAUUAAGUUCCUUUUAGUGAGUUGUAAGCUAAUUAGUGCUUUGAAUUUCACAACACAUCUGACCUGCAUUUCUAAGAUAUAGGUUCGACAUUGUGUUGAGAAUAUGGUAGCAACCUCGAAUCCUGAUGAACCAUCUUUUUUAAUUCACAUAAAAAAAUGGUGGAUUUAGUCAGGUACAUCGAAAAGGGCUACCUAUUGUCAAAGAUCAGUGGGCUUAUGAUGAGGAACCCGAGCAUAGGUCCGUAAGGGAGUCUUGAUGCCCGACACCUCAUGCCAACUGGUAUGAGAAUUGUCGACUAAUUGCUCGCUACAUGGAAGAAUCAUCACAGGGAGUAAAAGUGCACAAUAUAUACAUUAUCAUGUUUUUUAAAAAAAAUUCUGUAUAUUGACCUUAAGAAAGACAAUAGUGUGAAAGCCGUCAUUACAAAAAUUCGAGUAAACUGGAAUAUUACAGAUAAAUCCUAUGAGGUAUUAAUGUAAACAUCCACAGCUCUCGAAAUCCUGCAGAUAAGAUGAUUUUGAAUCAGCAAAUAGGUCUUGUCCGACCAAUUCUUGGAAACUACUAGCAUUGGCGAUAUUUUGGAAAUCCAAAACCUUAGCUUGUGCAUGGUCCAGACUUCACUGAGCACUCAAGUAUAAAUAAGUCUUAUAACUCCAUAACGGAAAACUUAAUGACGUCAACUUAAAUUGCAUACUAACCUAGAAUUUGGGCUACUUAGUAAUUAAAACCUUGUGUGCUUUUGAAAUUCUUAUCAGUUAUGUACUUGAAAUUAGACUUUCAUUUCAUAAAACAAAUUUUAUUUUGGGAUUGAAGUUUGUGGGUAACUUCACUGCAAACCCUCACGAGACAACACUCGUCCACUAGGGUAACCUAGGGGUUUAACGGCUUGUUACACGUGCUAAGUGCAAUUGUGGUGCUCUACGAAAGUAAGUAUUUAUUUUAGUUCAUAUAUAUAUAUAUAAUAAUAAUUUUGCACUCUCAUUUUAUCAUUUUCGCACUAAAUUGCUAGAGGCUGGCAAUAAGCUAGUUGGGAGGGGUGAUGAGAGCACAUGUCCUUUUAUGCAAUCCAUAAAUUUAUUUUAUUGCAAUCUAUGUUCUAAGUUUCAGUUUAAUUUCGGCAAUUUAUUUUAUGUGUACUGGAAAUCUUAUUUUUAAGAUAAUACUGAAAUAUUUUUUUUCUCUUUGCUGUUUGACCGCUACUCUGCAUUAGAUUUCAAUUACAAAGUUUUCCUUCUUUCCUUUGUUUAUUUUCAAAUAGAAAACAUUCUCUGAUAGACUAGAGAAUCAUUCAACAUCCCCGAAGUAAUGUUUUUCUUUUGUUAUUUAAAGAUCGAUUUUGAAUCCGAGUGAACGUUUUGAUUUUUAUGCAACUCCAAUCGGCUCCCUGUGGAUCGAUCUCUUAUGCCACUAUUCUUCGAGUAGAAAAGGUAAGAGUAUAAUUAAAUUAAACUUUGUUUGUCGGUUCUAACAACGAUCUGUUUAGCGUAUUUUUAGGUAAACAGGAAAUCGGACAACCCUCAACAUCAGUGAUCACUUCCAAAAGGUAUUUAUAGUUGGAUUCUGUUUAGUGCAUGUACUCUUACAGUGCACCCACUCAUCUGUUUAAGGUCUUUACCUCAAUAACGGAGCCUAUUAUUCUAUUUAUAUAGCGGCACAACGAGUGUUGGCCUAAAAUAUGUAACUGUUGAUUUUUCGGGCUCACCAACAAAAUCCUAACUGUUGGUUUUUCUGGCUCACCAACAACCCUUACAAAGAAAAUAAAUAGUUCAGAAAUUUAAAGCUCCUUAAAUGACCAAACAAAACUAUCAUGCUCUAAAGAGGAAGAAAAAGAAUGAUGUCGCGUGAAGGUGCUUUGCUUUUCUUCCUUGCUGAGAUUGCUUCAUGCUUUAAUGGGUUGGUUGAGCUCUUAAAUGCACUUGAAAUCUUAGCUCAGCACUCUUCUUUUUGGCCUUAACUGAAGCAAUGGAUAAACUCUUGGUUUGCAAGCUUUUUUUUUGAAUGCACACUUAAUAUUCCAAAAAGGUUCUUCUCCCAGAUCAAUAGUGGCUCUAAAACACCUCUCCAACCUCUAAAUAGCCGUUACUAGCCGUUGGAUUGAAGAAAAUAACCAUUUAUAGCCGUUGGAGACUUCAAAAAAGCUUCUGCGCAACUAGUCGUUAGGCUGUCAGACGAGCUGAGGUCGACUCAAACAUAUUUGGGGUUGGCUCGAUCAGUGGUUGCAGAAGAAUAAGCUUUUUGUCAUGACUGGUGGGGUUGACUUGAACUUCUGGUGGGGUCGACUUGAAUUCAUGCCAGUGUUCAGGGCGUGCCGGGGUCGGCUCCAAAUUUUCUGGGGUCGACUCGAAACCUGUGCCAGUGCCAAAUCAUUCCAGGGUUGGCUCCAGAAACUCUUGAAUCGACUCUAACACAGAUUCUUUGCCUCUUUAAGUUAUAUUUGUGCUUAUAACCGAACUUCUUAAACUAGAAUCAUAGCAAAUCAUUUCUUUUCACUUAGGAUCCUUAGCACAUGAAUUUUUCAUCUCUUUAAUCUUGGAAAAGAUAGAAUUACACUACAACCAAGAAAACUUGUCUCUUAAGUCUAUCAAUCUGAAAUUUAGGCCUUUCCUCAAGUUCAUCUAAAGAUUUUACCUUUUGUUGAGUUCUUGCAAGUUCUUCUAAUUGAACAGCAAAGCUUAUCAAGAACAUUCCAAAGAUUUUACCUUUUGUUGAGUUCUUUCUUCCUUAAACAUUUAUAUACUAAAUCAUCUGAAAUACUUAAUUUAAAAGCAUUAGUACAACAAUAUGACCUCAAUGGCUUUGUAAACAUCAAAAUCAUACUAGGGUCAACAGGAUUAAUUCUUUCAUGUGUGAGAGGAUGAGAGCCUUGACUUGGUCAAAGAUCUCAUCCGCAAGAAGGAUCUUGUGUGCGGCUGAAACUUUUCUUCCUAGCUUCCAUUUGCACGGCCAAGAAGAGGUUCCACAUAGGUCUAGGCUUAGGUGGCAAGGUGUUUAGGUAGUUAAUCAAGAGAUUUGAAUUUUAAAAGAGUCCUUAUGUGGUUAGAAAUCUAGAUAAAUUCUAAAUUGUAACUCCUAUCUUUUGCCAACCUCUCUUCAUAUAUAAGAGAAUGUUUGAUGAAUAAAAUCAGAUCAAAAAAUUUUAGAAAAAUUGUCAGUGACUCUUGAGAGAGUCCUCACAUAAAGGAGAGAGUUCUUCAGCUGUGAGAUGCCAAGUUGGCGAGAAAAGAGGGUGAGACACCUUUUUCUUCCGCCUAGGUUUGGGUUUUUGAGGGGGUGAGACUCUUCCUCAAUUUUCCAUAAUUAUCCCACCCAAUUACCACCACAUUGACCAAUUCUAUAGAGUCCUAAUCCAAUUGGGACUCAUCCAAAUCAGCCACGUCUUCAUUCAAUUCAGAUCAAGAACUAAAUUAAAUCCAAAGGCCAAACCCAAAUUCAGCCGCCACCCUUCAAUUGGCACCAAUUUCUUUGACCGGGUCUAAUCCAAUGGAGCCCAAAUCAAGAUUAUCUUGAGUCCACAUUUCUUCUCCCUUCCAUCCAUUUGAAACCCUAGCCUCCAUUGUCAUUACCAAGAAAAAAAAAGAAGAGAAACAUUCAACUACCAUUAUCAUUAUCAAAGAAAAAAAUUAUGCGAACAGAGCAGCUGACUGGAUCGCCUCUUACGUCGCCCGGCACUCCGGAGAGUUCCUUUGGACAUCUGUAGCUAAUAUCCCCAUCUUUUUGUACACUUUACUUUUUUUGAAUUUGGCUGGAUGUACUCAAGCUAGAGCUAUAUGAAUUGCCGUUUUCAUAAUAUAUAUAUAUAUAGGAACCCAUCCCGACUGCAUCAUUUUGGAUACCAACUUACUACGAAACCUAUUGAAAUACAUCUCAGCGACGGGGGCGUGCACGGUCACGCUAGUGCAGGCAGCGCGGCAUACAAGUUCUUCCCCCUUUUUGGUGGGCCCGGGAGGGCUGGGGGUGGGUCCCCCUUUUUGGUGGGCCCGGGAGGGCUGGGGAUGGGUCCCCUGUAGCUCUCCCCCCUGCUAUUAUUCUGUAGCGUCCCCCUUCUGCUAUUAUUAAGAUAUUUUGCACUCUGUGAAUUCUAUUUUUUUCUUUUGUUUGGGUAAGCCAGGUUGGAGAGAAGCGAGAAAAAGGGAAGCCGGAGGAUCGCGAAAAUAGAAGACAAUAAGAGAAAAGGAAGAUCCCUUCUCUCCCAAUGUCUCCUCCACCUAAGGAAUGAAGGAUAAAGAGGAUUAGCAAAACCUCCUCUCUGUUUCUCUUCCUUCCAUCCCUUGCCUGACCGUCCAAACUGAGGAUUAUGACCCUCUCCUCCUCACUCCUAAACAAAUGAGAGAUUCUAGUUCUCUCCUCUCUACCCCUUGCCUUCUCUGCCAACCUCGUAUCAUCAAAGAUCGAGACGGCCAUGCACAAGAAAGAAAGGUGAAAGAUUAAUGCUUCAAUUAAAUGUUAGCAACUUUAUCUUUAAAUUAUUCGAUAUUUUGUUUUGGUUUUCCUUUUCUGUGGUCCGAAAGGGCAAAAAAAUUUCUUGUCCUGACCUCCGCUGAGAGCAUAUGAAUCCAGAAUCAUACCCCGCGCAAAUCAGCAUCCUAUAGCUUCUUUCGACCAUUUUUUUUUUCAUAAAACCAAUUGAUUCGUCGACAAAAUCACGCUCUCCCGCAGUGAAGGGUUCACAAAUUCGAGGUGAUUGGAAAGGUGAUGAUGCUGCUGCUGUUUGUCGGAGAUGAAGUGGAAAGGGAGACGGUGAGGACGUGGGAAACCCCUAGAUUUUGCGCCGGAGAUUCUGCGAUUCUUGCUGGAGAAGGCGACGAAGAGAUGGAAUUGGUCCGGGCACGCGGUGGCUGCCUCAACUCAUGCCGCCGAAAGCAAAGACAAGUCGACGGUCAAGACGCGGAGUCACAUUGACCAAGUUCGUCGUCCUUUUUCUCAGCCACUCACGCGUAUAUUAGUCGGCCUCAUCUGGAGUCUCCCAGAGGACCGCAUGUGUUCUCUUUCCGACCAAUUUCCAACCAUCUUCCGUGCAUGACCGGUUUAAUUACUUAUGGCUUCCUCCUUUCUCGAUUCAUAUAUCCCUCCAUACUUCACCUCCUUUUUUGAGGAUCAUUGCAUUGAUAAAUUCUUACGCACUUGUCCCCGUCCUGCCUUCCAUCUACUCUGCCUACUGUAGAGCCAGCCUAUUGAACUAUGGCUUCGAAACCCAAUCCUAAGCUCCCGGAAGAGCAGCAGCAAACAAUAUCGCCGCAGCCACCGAGCAGCAGUCGAUUCAGGGCACUGAUCACCCAAUUAUUCAAUCUGCUCCCUGCCGUUGGUUUCCUCUUCCUCACCGUCAAUGUGAUCGCCGCUGCUUACCACGCUCGCCAGGAUCCUGGAACCCUUGUGUUCGUGCUCUGGUCCUAUGUAAAUCUGUUGCUGCUAUUCUUGUGCCUCAAAAAAUUUGAGAGCCUUGAAGCGGACUCUCCGCCUGAGAAGAGGGAGAGACUUAAAGUGGCUAUCUGGGUGCUUGCCACCGCCCUCAACCUCACUUUCGCCUGGCGAGUGGCGGGGAUAAUGCCAUUAGCGCUGGCCGUAGUCAUCUGGGCAAUGGCUGCCCUUGUUGCUGUUGCUGGGUUCUACGGUCUCUUCAUUUACAAGGAUGGGAAUGGUAAUUGUAUUGAGAACAGCGACUUUGGCAAGGCUCGCCUCCGCGAGCUCUCCCCGGAAGAAAAAGUUUAGCCUGUCCCAAGGUAGACAUGCAAUCCACUAUAAUAUAUUUCAAAAUAAAAUAUUACUGAAAAAAUAAACUUAAUUCAACGAAUGUCUUCAUGAAUAUGCGAAGGAUCACUUUGAAAGUAGUAAUUCAUGUAUUUAAGUGGUUCAUAUAUUUGGGUUUUCUAUGUACAUUUAAGUGGUUCAUGUAUUUGGAUUUUCUAUGUGCCUAUAAGUGGUUCAUGUAUUUUGGAUUUUCUAUGUGUAUCUAGAAGUCCUAUAAAUAUUAUGUAAGUCUUGUGGUUUUGGCAAGGGGCAAGAGCCAAAGUGAAUAGAAAAAAUUUGAAGUAUUUCGCCUCUUCAUCCUUGCUUCUCUAAAGAAAUCUCUCUUCCUAUAUUCGAACAAACUACUAUCAGAGCUCUAGUUUCUUGAUCCUAUAGCCAAUUCUACCUUCCUAUUUCAAUUUUCUCGCCUUGCAAAAGAGAAUUAUGAGAAUUGGUGCAUUUGUAUGAAGGCUUUGCUUGGAUCGCAAGAUGUGUGGGAGAUUGUGGAUAGAGGCUAUGAGGAGCCUUGUGAAGAAGCUACGAUGAGUCCUACUCAAAAGCAAACUCUAUAGAGAAUGUGGAAGAAGGACCAAGAAGCUCUCACUCUCAUCUAUCAAUGUUUAGAUGAAGCCAUAUUCGAGAGAGUAGCUAAUACGACUACUGCCAAACACGCAUAGGAGAUCUUACAAAACUCUUACAGAGGAGUUGAUAAAGUGAAGAAAGUGUGCCUUCAAGUGCUACAAGAAUAUUUUGAAGGUAUACAAAUGCAGGAAUUCGAGUCUAUUGCGGAUUUCUUUUCGAGGCUGUUGGCUAUAGUGAACCAAAUGAAGAAGUAGGAGAAAGAUUGGAGGAUGUCCAGGUCAUUGAGAAAAUUCUUCGCUCGUUGUAUUCGAAAUUCGAUUAUAUCGUCGUAGCCAUCGAGGAGUCCAGAGAUUUGGAGACUAUGAUGGUUGAUCAACUUAUGGGUUCGUUACAAGCCCAUGAAGAGAUAGUAAACAAGAAGAAAGAGGAGACGAAUGAGCAAGUUCUAACCACUAGGCUCUUAGUGAAGGAGAAGGAAGGGGAGCGUGAGAAAAAUCAAUGAGGAAGAGGAUGUGGACGUGGACAAGGUCGAGGGAGAGGAGGAAGAGGAAGAGGAAGAGGUGGCUAAGGCAAUCAAAACUCCAACAAUGAAGAAAGGGAGCAUUCCUCAAGAGGAUGUGAUAGAGGAAACUACACAAGGCAAAAUGAUAAGUCCAAAGUUUGGUGUUACAAUUGCCAAAAGAAUGGGCAUUAUGCUCGGAAGUGUUGGAGUUCUCCUAGCAAUAUUGAAGAGAAGACUAAUUAUGUAGAGAAUGGACGAGCCAACUCCAGCAGAUAGCAAGUCGACCCAAGAACAGUCUCAAAGAAUAGAUAGAAAGUCAAAGAAUUUAUCGCAUUGGCGAGUUAACCCAUAAAAUACAUGCUCGACUCUAGUCUAAAGAGUGAUGUUGGAAGUAAAUUGAAUCUUCCUAAAAUUUGAUUCACUGGAAAGCACAUAAAGGAAGGAGUCGACCCCUAAUUGGACAUACAAAAAAGACAGAGCUAGAAAAAUCAUCGCUUUGGCUUGUCGACCCAUAGGAAUCAUGAGUUGACUCCAGUCAAACAAGAUUAGACCCUAGAAACAUACAAGUCGACCUCUGAAACACCAUAGUAAAAAAAUAAAAAACAGUAGAACUUAAUCUGUUGAAUAGUCCACCCAAGAAAGCAAUGAGUUGACCCAAGAUAUCUGACGAGUCAACCCCUGAACUGAAAGAGCCGACUCCACAAUGUCUAUAGUAAAAAGACAGAGCGCAACAAAAGCUACAACAACUACGAGAUGACUCCUGAAGAUCACCAGUCGACUUCUAAAAAUCUUAAGUCGACCCUAGGAAAUGGUGAGUCAACCCCUCUGCGUCUGACAAUAGUAAUAUCUAGUUUUUCUAUGAGUCACAAUAGUUGUUUUUCAUUUCACAAUGGCUCUUUACCUGUCUAAUGAUUGGAAGAGUGUUCCAACCAUCUCCAAAAGUAUAAAUGCAUAGGAACAGCAAAGAAAAAGAAGAGCCUAAGCACUACAAAAAAAAAUCUACAAGAACAAGAAAGAGAAAGAAAAAGAAGAGAGCUUCAAAGAAUAAAUCAUUCAAGAACAUUUAUAGAGAGUUGAAUGAUCACAUCUUCUACAACUGAAAGUUGGUGAAGUGCAUUCAAAGAUCAUUCCAUGCCAACCAACAGAGUCCAUCUCCAUUUUUUAUUUUGAAUUUAUUGUCCUGGAGUUGUAUUCAUUGCUUCAGUACUUACUUUUUUCUAUUCUUUAUUGUAACAAGUUUUAGAGAUUGAAAUUUGGAGAAAAGUCCAUCCAAAUCUUAAAUUGGAUUGAAAAAGUUUUGGUUGAUUUUCUAAAAAAAUCAAUUAAGUUGAUUGGGAGCCCGAGUAAAGCAAUCAGUCUAGAUUUUAGUUGAUUUUCUAAAAAAAUUAACUAGAUUGAUUGUGAACCCAUAAGAAACAAUCAGUUGAAGGUUUUGAUUGAUUGCCCGAAAAAAUCAAUUGGGUUUGGUCGUGAAUCCGAAAAAUAACUAUGCUAUAAUUUGGGUUAUAGAUUUAGUAAAAUUUCUAAGAAGAAAGUCUUGGAGAUUAUAGGUGCAGAGUUAGCAUCAAACCACUAUAAUUUUUUUAUAUUGAUGUUGAUUAUUUUACUUGUAUUUAUCUUUAACAUAUUUUCUUAUUAGUUUGCUACUAAAGUAUAUCUUGUUCUGUCAAGUUUUAUACCUCUAUAUUUAGUAAAAGUUUUCGAAAAAUCCAAUUCACACUCUCUUGGACUGCAUAGAUGGCAACAAUGCGAGCAUUUAAUGGUUGGCUGCCUCUCUACUCACACCGAUCAAUGCUUCCUAGCCAUUCACCCAAUAGGAGAUGGACAUUCUUGGACUCUUUCUAUCUAACUGAGUAAAAGAAAUUCCUAAUAGUGGCCAUCAACUACUUCACUAAGUGGGUCGAGGCGGAACCAUUGUCCUAGAUCGUCGAUAGCAAUGCCUGAGACUUCAUUCGAAAGUUGAUCAUCUACUACUUCGGGCUUCAUCGGGCCACCAUCACCGACAACUAUAGGCAGUUUGACAAUACCCACUUUAGGGAGUUCUAUGUCGAUAUUCAUAUAGAUCAUCAGCCCACCUUGGCCGGACAUCCCCAGGCCAAUAAGGAAGCCAAGGUGACCAACAAAACCAUUCUGCAAGGCUUGAAGACACGGUUAGAUCAAGCAAAGGCAGUUUGGGUAAAUGAGCUUCAUAGUAUCCUCUUGGAGAUGGGCCUAUCCUCUCAUCGGAUCGCCUCCUUUAAUGUGUAGAGGAAUCCGGAAGGCCUUCGAGCUAACCUCAACUUGCUGGAAGGAAUAAGGAAGUCGGAAGGGUUUCAAAAGAACGGUUAGAACCAACGGGCCGUAAGAAAAGGAGUCGAAAUCAGAAAAGUUAAAUGAGCGAGGAAGCCAAGUGAGAGGGAGUCGGAAAAUUGGGAAGGAGGCUUCGAUGGAAUAGCAGUCAGAAAAUUGGGAAGGGGCUUCGGCAGAAGAAUAGAAGCCAAAAACUCAGAAAAAAAGUAUUUGGGGGGAAAAUAGAAAACAAAGGGCAUUUUCGUCCUCAGAGAUGCGUGGUUAAGGCCCUGUUUGGGGGAGCUGUUGGCAGUAGAGCUGUUNNNNNNNNNNNNNNNNNNNNGAAAAUUUUACCAAACACACUUUUUUUCCCAAAAGUACUUUUGGAGGGCCAGAAAGUGCUUUUUGGCUCUCCAAAAGCUCCCCCAAAUAGGGUCUAAAUAUCAAAUUGCCUUUGACUGGUUGUUACAAAACCAGUCCACGGAUAGGGUGGCAAUUAAUUUUUCUUUUCUUUUUUUCUCUGUCGUUCCGCGUGAGAUUAGCUGGCCUCAUCAAUGACUCAAUAUCUGAAGUCUCCCCCGAGACUGUCUGAAGUACGUGCUGUCUUUCCGACACAUUUCCAACCACGCUCGAUGUCGUCACCGCUGCUUACUACGCUCGCCAGGACCCAGACGCCCUCGUGUUCGUGCUCUCGUCCAGUGUGCAUCUGAUACUCCUAUUUGGAUGCCUCCAAAAUUAAAUAGCCUGGAAGCGGCUAUCUUGGCGCACGUGACCGUCCUCAACCCCACUUUUGGCUAGCGAGCGGCGGGGAUGAUGCCAUUUGCUCCGAAGGCAGCCGUCUGGGCAAUGGUUGGCCUUGUUGCCAUUGCUGGGUUCUACAGUCUCUUCAGUUACAAUGAUGGGAAUGGUAAUGGUAUUCAUAAUCAUGACAGUCAAAACAGCGGAUUUGACCAGGCAAGAACUUAAAAAAAAACAAUGGAAAUAUACGUCAAAUAUAAAACUUCAAAACAAAAUCUAUGAGAUAUUAGUAGUUGAUGGCAUUAUUAUCAUCAUCUCUAUGAUUGCUGAAAGCAUUGUAAACUUAUAAGAAAAAGAAACUUCAAAAGUUGAGAAUAUCGAAAUUACAACGUAUUAUAAAUUAUUAAUCCCAAACAAAAGUAUACAUGAUAAUUGUAUAAAAUAUACAAAUAGAUGUACUUAUUUAUCUAAGGCGGGACAAACUUCUGCAGUAAGAAUGUAAUCUGGUUAUGCUAAAUCCUAUAGCAUGCAUCUCUGUCUCAUAAUUCUGCAUUAAAGAUUGUAUCACUUUUUAAUAGCUCUAGCUCAUGUCCAUAAUCUCUAUCUCCAGCCUACGAAUGUCUACAGUGCUAUCACUCUAUCUAGCAUAGUGAAUGUAUCUACAUACUACAAACAACUGAGUACGGAUGAUUCAAAAGGAUCUCCUAACUCGAUGUGGACUUUGGUCAUUACGGGUAGGGCUGGACAAAGUCUAGAAGCAAGAUCUAGCAUAUCAAAAAGCCAAGUCGCAAGCCAAACUUUCAGAGGCCAUAACUUCGACAUGCGAUGUUCGAUUGAAAUAAUUUUUUUUAAAAAAAUUGAUACGUUUUAGAGAUAUACAACAUGACAUCAUGCUCUUCAAGGGAUGGCUCCUUUAGCGAUCAUAUCCAAAUUUUUAUCAUUUGGGCUUGUAAAAGGUUGGUCAAACUAAAAGUUUCCUUCUCUAGUAAGACUUUAAUUGGACAUAUCUUCCAAUCCGAAGUAAAAAUCAAGCAAAGCGAUAGAAGGCAAGGUAGAAGUCGAGUUUCACUUUCUGAAGAAUUUUAGCUUUUCAAGUUUAUUUCAACUAGCUAUUCUAUUUUAGGAAAAAGAGUUCUAUUAGAACUAGAAACAAAAAUUCGAUCCAAGUUGUGCAAGGACAGACCUCACUAUUAUAAAUAGAGGCAAUGUGCCUUAAUUUUAGAUCAUCAAUAAUAAAAAAAACGUAAGUCUUACUUUCAUAAUUCUUCCUUUUUUUAAAUUUAUUUUGAGAAAUUCGAGUUGAGUGGGUUGAGAAAAUUCUUCAUUCUCCCUGAUCGGAUCAAAAGGUGACUCCAACACUAUAAGCUCUCACUCGACCAUAAUGCUCUGGUCCCAUCAAUUUGGUGAACAUGAGGACAACUCCUUAACAUGCGCCAUAAUAAGGGAUGUAACUCUCCUAUAUUUAAGAAAAGUUCACAUAUUAAUAAUAGAAUAAAACUAUAAAUCAUUACACAAAUCCAUUAUCAAUACAUACGACUAAAUCUCUCGACUCUUUUCAGAUAAAGCUGUCAUCUCAAUGGGUACACUAUAGAAAAAAGAAGCAUUGCCGACUCUAUAUUGCCGACACUAAAUAGAAGUGUCGGUAAUUUUUUUUCAGCGAAAAAGCUUGCCGAUGCCUCUAAAAAGCGUCGGCAAAUAAUGGGCUCCGCCGAUGCUUUAGUUAGCGCCGCCGGACGCCGCCCAAUACCGGCGCUUCUAACCAUCGAAGGGGUUAAUCACCUCCCACCUCUCACAUCCGGCGAUGGUCUCUCACAUAGUUUGUGUUUAAAAAGCAAAAUAGGUAAGCUGCUCCGAGGUGUGGGCGAAGAAGCAGAUGCGGCGAUGGCGGGCAGUGCCAACCUUGCAUGGUUGGGUCCGGUAGCGUGAUGGAUGGAGCCAGCACUCGAACCCCAGGGGCGAACUCGUAGGCAUCGUCUCACUUGCAGUUGCCCUUCCGAAAGUCCGGGCAGGCAGUGCCAGAGUAAGGGUACUUCCGGGGGUCCCUCCGAUGAGCUUUCUCACCCGGGUGGGCGUAGGGGCACUUCAUCCAAUCAUGGGAACGCCCCCUCGCGCAUCGCCGAACUUUAAACUCGUACAUCCGAAACUUGUCAUACGAAUAGGCAUCCACCAGCGCGUCCGCCAGAUCCGACUCGUCGGAAUCCUCCCCUGCCGAGUAAGCCUCGUUGCAGGGGAGGUAGCACUGCAGCGCGGCCAGCGCCACCUCGCCUAGCGCGUAAGGGGACCAGUGCCCACUGUAAUCGGUGACCCUGCUCACGGGGAGGAUGUACGCGACGCCCACUGUCGGAUCGUCGAAGGGGGUCCGAGAGAACCUGGGCCCUUCUCCCUGUCUGGGAGGAUUCUUGGAGUCUAGAAGGUUCCUGGAGCAUCCAAGAGAACUUGAGUUUCGGCCAGAGAGAAAAAGGAGCCGACGAUGCUGAAAAGUGUUAUUAGAAUCCAACCGGCUACUUAACAUUAAUUUUCCUUAAACUUGGGCCAGAUAUGCUUAAAAGCGUCAUCGGACGCCUAACCACCCCUUACUGCCUCUAUAAAAUGCCAAGGCGAUGGAACCCUAGCAGCAGUCAGAGAGAGAGAGAGAGAGAGAGAGAGGAGAAGGGGGACGUCAAGCAGAUGGGUCAGAUCGUAGUUCGAUGGUAGGUAGAAGUUCUUCUGUGUUACUUUUUUUUGGUUUUUUUACUGGUUCUUUUGUGGUUCUUCUAUAUUCUCUCCAUAUUUUUGGAAAUGGAAGAAGGCGCUCAGGAGCGUACUGAAGAAAGAAAAUGGAGUCAAGGUGUUCUCUUCACGACAAUGAAGGGAAAAUGGAAGAAGAGAUUAGGAGUUGAGGAGCAGACUGAAGAAGGCGGAGCGGACUGAAGAAGAGAUUAGGGAUUUCGAAAUCCUUUUUGUAAUUUGUUAUUUGUUAUUUGUUGAAGAGCGGAACACGGAGGUUGGAGUUAGGUUGGGGUUGGGGUUGGGGUUAGGAGAUUACUCUUUUCAAUUUCUAGGGUUAUUUUUAUUGGAAAAUUUUUGGGGUUAUUUCCAUUGUAAAAGCUAAUUUGAUAGAAGGAAAACAAACAUCAGUGUUUUUCUUGUGUUAUUUAUUUUUUAAUUUUGUUCUUUUUUUUAAUUUGCUGGGGUAUCUAUCUUGUACUAUUAGAAGAAGAAUUAUUAUGAACCAGUAAUGGAGAAUAUCCAGGGUUUUUUUUCCAAAAAAUUAAUUAGGCUUUUUAUUUUGUUUUUGAAAUAACUCUAAGUAUUGUCGACGCUUCUAAGCAUCGGCCUAUCUUUGGUUUUCGCUGACACUUAAUAGCAUCGGCAGACUCCAAAAUAGGCCAACGCUUUCUAGUAUCGGCAUAGCUUCCAUUUUUACCGACGCUUUCAAGAAGCGUCAGAAGAAAAAAAAAUUACUUCCACCUACCCGACACUUUUGCGACACUUUUGAGAGCGUCGACGCAAAAAUUACCAACCCUUAUAAGCGUUGGUAUAGGCUCUAAAAAACGUCGGAAAAAGGUUAUUUUUUUGUAGUGGUAUGAGUCAUCGUGUAGAAUCCACCUCAUCAAGCUCCCUCCUACGCUCUUCUAUCUAAAAAGAAAGUAUAUGUUGCAUGAUACAUGGUCGAUAAUACAAGAUAUAUAAUAUAAGAUAUAUAAUUCAUGAUACACAUUACAUGAUACCUGAAACAUGGUACAUGAUACAUGAUAUAUGGAACUAACUUGUGGGUGUGGUCCAUGAUAAAUGAUACAUGGAAAUGCGCUUAUAUCAAUUAUAGUAUUGAUAUAAGCACCUUCCAUGCAAUAAUAACCAGGUAGUUAACAUAAAAGUCCUAUAAUUUUUGGGGUUUUGUGUUGUUGCAUACUUUGCACUCAAUAGGCAUGAUAUAAAAGUCUAAACUUGUGUUGUUUUCUUUAGAGGCAAUAAUAGCCAUAUACUAAGCACAUCAUUCUUCCCCAAAUUCACUCUUCAGAAGUACCCUAUAAUGAAGCAAAUGCAAGAUAUUAUGAAGCAUAGUAUCCCAAAAGAUUGAAAUAAGUAAAUUAAAUUUGUGUCAAAUUUUGUAUGUUAACAAAGCAAAUGCAAGAUACUAUCCCAAAUAAUCAGAUAAUUAAAUAUAAGGGUUUUUUUUGCGUGAAUACCAUUCUAAAUAUCGGAUUUUGUAUGAAUACUCUUCCAACAUUGAUAUUUGCAUGUAUACCCUCGUAAAACACUUGUUUUGCUAUUCUACCCUUUUUAUCCUUAUUUUUACUCAUGUACCCACACUAUCUAACACCAUUAAAAAAUUAACGGUUUCAAAUUAACAUGACUAAAAUAUCCUUAAUAGGUAGACAUGCAAAAAAAUAUUUAUAAGGGUAUACAAGCAAAUAGCAACUUUACAAGGAUAUUUAUGUAAUUUUGUAAAUUUAGAAGGGUAUAUAUGCAAAAAAGAAUCCUAGUAGAUGGAAAGAAUUUUGACAUAUUAAUUAAUAUAACAGCCUUCAAAAUCCUGUAUUUAUUAGUUAAUAUGAUAACCUUCAGAAUUUUGCAUUUAUUAAUUAUUGUUGUAGUCAUUAGAGUCAUGCAUUUAUGCUUCUACACAAGUAAGAUGAAUUCAUACAUCAUAAAUUAACAUAAGUCUCAAGAUCUAAAGUGCUGCUCUUAUAUUGAUAGUUUUAAAAUAGUCAAAGAAAGAUUAAGAACUCUGGCGGAAACAUGAACUCUGUUUGCAAGGUGACAUAUUCACAAAGAAGGGGAUGUCGAUGCUCUAGGGAAGGUGGAAAAGAGCUCGUUAUUCAUUUAUUUCUUUCUCUAGAAGCUUUAGUUCAUUCACAUCAGCCGUGUAUAUUGUAUGGGUUUAAGAUAGUUAUGGAUGGGACUUAGGAUUUGGCAUUUGUGCUCUAUCGGUGCAUUUAGUUAUUGAUAGUUUUUCUUUGGUUCUAUAUUUUAUAUAUUUCAACAACCUAGAGGAAGCCUUGUUAGAAGAUUUUGUUAAGUUAUUAUUGCAUCUCUUCACAAGUGGAACAUAUGUCUUCCACAUAAUGGUUCUCUCCUUUAUGCGCUGUCGGGUGAGACCUCAACUAUCAAAGAAAGCCAGAAACUAGAGCACACUAUUGAAUUCAAGUAUAAAGCCAUGUUGGAAUUAUAAAGCAAGUAUAUAUUUCAUUAUAUCUUUUAUAUCAUAUUAUUAUGAUAUGCAAGUGAAAACGACAUUGUGCAGAGAUCAUCAAAUAUAAAGCCGCAUUGGAAUGCAAGCAUAACAAGCAUAACAAGGUGGAGAAGUAAAUAUUUCAGGUAAAGAAAAAUUUAUUCAUAUUUCUGGAAUCAAAAAAGAUUAUCUCAUUGCAUGAUGUUCGUCUUGAUCAUUGGAGAACAAACUACAUAUUUAGAGAAAAUUAAAAGUUUCAUAUCCAACAUAAUCUUCACUCCUCCAGCAAAACAUGCGAUCAAAUCUGUAAUUAGCAAAAACAUUAAAAAAAAUUAUGUAAGAGAAUUAACUCUAUAUCAACCAAUAAAUUAUGUUUGGUAAUAAUACUAAAAGUAAUCUAAAUAACUUAAAAACAAAUAAGGUGCAAAAUUGGGAUACGUUUAUCCAAUCAUAUACCAAUCAAGAUUGUGGGUAGGCAUUAUCUUCUCCAACUAAAGUUUCCAUUCUUUUAGCUUGCUUGCGNNNNNNNNNNNNNNNNNNNNNNNNNNNNNNNNNNNNNNNNNNNNNNNNNNNNNNNNNNNNNNNNNNNNNNNNNNNNNNNNNNNNNNNNNNNNNNNNNNNNNNNNNNNNNNNNNNNNNNNNNNNNNNNNNNNNNNNNNNNNNNNNNNNNNNNNNNNNNNNNNNNNNNNNNNNNNNNNNNNNNNNNNNNNNNNNNNNNNNNNNNNNNNNNNNNNNNNNNNNNNNNNNNNNNNNNNNNNNNNNNNNNNNNNNNNNNNNNNNNNNNNNNNNNNNNNNNNNNNNNNNNNNNNNNNNNNNNNNNNNNNNNNNNNNNNNNNNNNNNNNNNNNNNNNNNNNNNNNNNNNNNNNNNNNNNNNNNNNNNNNNNNNNNNNNNNNNNNNNNNNNNNNNNNNNNNNNNNNNNNNNNNNNNNNNNNNNNNNNNNNNNNNNNNNNNNNNNNNNNNNNNNNNNNNNNNNNNNNNNNNNNNNNNNNNNNNNNNNNNNNNNNNNNNNNNNNNNNNNNNNNNNNNNNNNNNNNNNNNNNNNNNNNNNNNNNNNNNNNNNNNNNNNNNNNNNNNNNNNNNNNNNNNNNNNNNNNNNNNNNNNNNNNNNNNNNNNNNNNNNNNNNNNNNNNNNNNNNNNNNNNNNNNNNNNNNNNNNNNNNNNNNNNNNNNNNNNNNNNNNNNNNNNNNNNNNNNNNNNNNNNNNNNNNNNNNNNNNNNNNNNNNNNNNNNNNNNNNNNNNNNNNNNNNNNNNNNNNNNNNNNNNNNNNNNNNNNNNNNNNNNNNNNNNNNNNNNNNNNNNNNNNNNNNNNNNNNNNNNNNNNNNNNNNNNNNNNNNNNNNNNNNNNNNNNNNNNNNNNNNNNNNNNNNNNNNNNNNNNNNNNNNNNNNNNNNNNNNNNNNNNNNNNNNNNNNNNNNNNNNNNNNNAAAUAAUUGGAUUGAUUUAUUAGUUAUGAUUUGCUAGUUUUCUUAUCCUAGGGCUAGGACGUAGUCAUUGAAUUUUUGAUAUGAAUUGAGUAUGGUUGUAUUGAAUAUUUUUUGUUAAUUGCAAUUUGAUGAUUUCGCUUUUCAUUCUUGCAAUUUAUUGGCUAUGAAUUGUAUGCUUAAGAUGUUGAAUGAAGUAACGAAAGUUGAAGUUCAAUAUUAGUUGGUGAAUUUAUCAAACAUUGGUGGUGUAGUUUAGAAAUAAAUGCACACCCUUGUGACCUACAAUCAAGAAUUUCACAGAUCAUAAUGAAUUUAUAUUAAUUUCUAUGAUCACGAAAGUAGACAUAGGAUUAAUAUAGGUAUAGAUGUUAUGCCUUGAAAGAGGAUAUCACAUAAAAAAAGGAAUUCGGUCAUUGUAAUUAGCAGAAUAUUAACAAUCAGAUUUAAAUUCAUUGAAGAAAUUCAAUUGAGGAAAUCCAAGCCCUAGGAACCUUUCAUAUUUGAUUUUUCAGGUCAAGAAAUUGCAGUCAGUCACAUCAAUUUAGGGUCAUCUAAAUAAUAUAAAAAAUUUAUAAAUUGGUACUUGAAUCGCCUCCUUGUGGAAACGAUACUCUUUUUGCCCUAUUCUACUUGCCAUGACCCAUGCACUUAUGGUAGAGUAUAGGGACAAUCAAAUUUUUAGCACCGUUGCCGGGGAGGAUUGUUUUUAAAAUCAAUACAAAUAAUUUUCUGCAUUAAUAUAGACUGUUUUGUUCUUUUUGUUAAUUUAUAAUUUUUAUAUUUAGUGUAUGAAACGAAACUGUGAGCUAAUUGAGCCUUUUGAUCCAGAAAUUGAGAGAACCCUACGAGCAUUAAGGAAACAAUAAAGAUUAGAGCUAAAGCAAAAACAAGCAGUAGCCAUGGCAGAUAACCAAGAUAACCAGAAUAAAAGGUUGUUGAGUGACUAUACCGUGCCGAAUGUCAAUGGUGCUCAACUCAGUAUUGUGAGACCUACAGUCAACGCUAAUAAUUUUGAGAUUAAACCUUGUCUCAUCUAGAUGGUGCAGCGGGAGCAGUUUGGUGGAGGACCUGCUGAGGAUCCACAUGCACACCUUGCCAAUUUCUUGGAUAUUUGUGAUACAAUCAAUAUGAAUGGAGUUAGUGAUGAUGCUAUUCGACUCUGACUUUUUCCAUUUUCUCUAAAGGAUAAAGCCAAGGCCUGGUUGAAUUUCAAAGUGCCUAACUCUUUCACCACUUGGAAUGCCUUGUCACAAGCUUUUCUGAGUAAGUAUUUUCCCCCAGAUAAGACCGCCAAACUUAGAAAUGAUAUUACCAGUUUUGCUCAGUUUGAUGGUGAAUCUUUGUAUGAAGCCUGGGAGAGGUUUAAGGAUUUGCAGAGAAAGUGUCCACAUCAUGGUCUUCCUUGAUUGGCCGAUUGUACAGACUUUCUAUAAUGGAUUAACACAUUCAGUCAGAAUUACCAUAGAUGCAGCUGCAGGAGGUACUUUAAUGAGUUAGUCAACAGAAGAGGCAUAUGAGUUGUUAGAAGAAAUGGCCUCUAACAAUUAUCAGUGGUCUAAUGAAAGAGGUAUGCCUAAGAAAGUUCCAGGUAUGUAUGAUGUAGAUGGCAUAAACAUGUUGAAUGCCAAGGUUGAUUCUCUAGUAAAAAUGUUCGGUAAGCUGGGUAAUGUGAAUUCCGUUUCUAGACCUGUAUUAAGUUGUGAUUGCUGUGGAGGAGCUCACAUGAGUUCUGAUUGUAUGCAGGUUCAAUUUGUGUCUAAUUAUAACAGGCAGCAGCAGCAGAACAACCCUUAUUCCAACACAUACAAUCCAGGCUGGAAGAAUCAUCCCAACUUUUCAUGGAAAGAUCAAGGUAACCAAGGUAGCAGUUCUAGACCUCUCCAUCCUCCUGGUUUCCAACCAAUACCAUCCCAACCAAAAAAUAAGCAGUCUUGGAAGAUAGAUAUUGAGAAGUUAGCCAAUGCAAGUUCAGAGAGAUUUGAGAGACUGGAGGCAAAGGUUGACCAGUUGGCGAGUUCCAAUAGAAAUGUGGAGAUGCAAUUGGGGCAGUUAGCCAAUUCCAUCAAUUCUCGUGGACAGGGUAAUUUGCCUAGUAAGACAAAGGUCAAUCCAAAGGAGCAUUGCAAGACAGUCACCUUGAGAAGUGGUAAGCAACUUGGUCAGGUAAGUUGUGAGCUAUAGUUGGUGAUGAAGUAGACUAUGAAGAGGUGAGCAAGAAAAUCAGUGAAGAAGUUGAGGACCUAGCCAAGACACCAUCCCCACUACCACCAGUCGAACCUUAUAUUCCUUCCAUUCCUUUUUCUCAAAGGCUUAAGCAGAAUAAAAUUGAUCAAUAGUUUGAGAAAGUUUUGAAAGUAUUUAGGCAGCUUCACAUUAAUAUUCCUUUUGCAGACGCCUUAGCACAAAUUCCUGCAUAUACAAAAUUUUAAAGGAGAUCAUGUCUAAGAAGAGGAAAUUGGANNNNNNNNNNNNNNNNNNNNNNNNNNNNNNNNNNNNNNNNNNNNNNNNNNNNNNNNNNNNNNNNNNNNNNNNNNNNNNNNNNNNNNNNNNNNNNNNNNNNNNNNNNNNNNNNNNNNNNNNNNNNNNNNNNNNNNNNNNNNNNNNNNNNNNNNNNNNNNNNNNNNNNNNNNNNNNNNNNNNNNNNNNNNNNNNNNNNNNNNNNNNNNNNNNNNNNNNNNNNNNNNNNNNNNNNNNNNNNNNNNNNNNNNNNNNNNNNNNNNNNNNNNNNNNNNNNNNNNNNNNNNNNNNNNNNNNNNNNNNNNNNNNNNNNNNNNNNNNNNNNNNNNNNNNNNNNNNNNNNNNNNNNNNNNNNNNNNNNNNNNNNNNNNNNNNNNNNNNNNNNNNNNNNNNNNNNNNNNNNNNNNNNNNNNNNNNNNNNNNNNNNNNNNNNNNNNNNNNNNNNNNNNNNNNNNNNNNNNNNNNNNNNNNNNNNNNNNNNNNNNNNNNNNNNNNNNNNNNNNNNNNNNNNNNNNNNNNNNNNNNNNNNNNNNNNNNNNNNNNNNNNNNNNNNNNNNNNNNNNNNNNNNNNNNNNNNNNNNNNNNNNNNNNNNNNNNNNNNNNNNNNNNNNNNNNNNNNNNNNNNGUUUUUCGAGUUGAUGUUGUAGAUGAGUCGACCAGAGAGGUUUUUAGGGCUGAAAAUACUAAAGAACCUCUUGAGACUUGUUUAGUGAGUGCAGGGACAAGUAAAAAUGAUAAUCUAGAGGUUGCAUCAGAAAUAGGAAUGAAAUAAAAUCAGCUACAACAAUCAUUGUUGUUCUUUUAACACUUGCAAUAAUGUUUUCUUUUUGUUCAAUUUAAUAGAAGAAAAACAGUAGACAUCAACGAGAGGGAAGAGAGGCCAAGAUGACAUUGAAAUACCUUUCUUUAAGAUGAACACUACUUGGAGUCUAGCGAUUGAUCCUCGGACUAGCUUCCGCAGCCAAGAUAUAAAUAGAGAGGAGAGAUUUAGAAGAUGAAUCAAGUCCACGACCAAAUUUAGGAGAUGAGAGAUUUGAAAGCAGUGAGGAAUAUUGUUGUUUGAGAGAAACAGUGCAUCGUGGGGAAAGAAUCGCAAUCAAGAAGGCGCAAGCGGGAUCGCGAUCUCUGCUAUGGCAAUCGUGAUUCCUAGCAGGGAAAAAAGGUAAUUUGAAGAUUUUAUUUUAUUUUAAUUAAAAUAAAUAUGGUUUUUAUUUACGGUGUUAGAAGAAUCGUUACACUAGAGGCAUUUGAGCAAAAAUAGUAUUUAUGAGGGUAUAGAUAUAAAUAUAAAUUUUAAGAGGGUAUUCAUGCAAAUUUAAAUUUUUAGAAGAGUAUUCAUGCAAAAAAUCCUAAAUAUAAUUAGUCAAAUUCUGUAUGUUAAAAAAUUUGUUAACCCUGCUACUAAGAUUUCCAGUAUUAUGAACCAAUAACACAAAUAAAAGGAAUAAUUGAUGUGGUUGGAAUUAUGUUGCUUGCUGGAGAUGAUUUCCAGCAGUCUUGUGGCGCCCUAGAUAGAGCAGGAACAAGAACAGGUAUUGAUUCAAAGUUUACUUUUGAGACAGUUGUGAGACAGAAAGAUGAUCUAAUAGCUGAGAUUGCAACUAGUCAAAAAGGCUGAGUCUGCCAUAGUGGGAGGUCUGGAAUUCCUCCGACGCUUUCAGCAUUGAUGUAUUUGGCAAGUAUCAAUGACUAUCUGUUAUUUCAUCUUCCUUAGGAGCUCGAUGCAGCAAUUUUGGAAUUGGCUCAAAUAUUUUGCAGGUAACGCCUUUCCAAAUAUUUAGAUUGUUUCUGAUGAAUAUCGUACUACUGUUUCUAUCUAGACUAUGUUUCUUCUAGCUUAACAAUUAUAGUUUCUGGCAGAGGCAUCAUCCUGGUGGCCUUUCAUCAUUGUUAUGUUGUGUCUUCAAUUGAUAUGGAAUUAAGACUAAAACAUACAUAGGCAUAACAACUUUAAGAGUACGAGACAUUAUAGUAGCUUAUAUUUAACUGGUGUAGUUUGUAUGUUUAAAAGUUAGGUUGGAGCUGAUUCACUACUGUUCCUUGUCGUUCCACAGCCAGAGAAGUAAUCCAGCACAAUCAAAGAGCAGCUGGCAGCUAUAGCACCAGCAUUAGAACAGUUAGGCAAGCAGAAAGACGAGAGGAUGAAGGAGCUUGUGGAUGUCCAGUCGCAAAUUCAGCAAAUAUGUGGUGAAAUAUUUGCUGGCAAUUUAAAAAUCGGAGAGCAGGUGGGGACACCCACAGUCGAUGAAGAUGAUUUGUCCUGGAAAAAGUUAGAUGAGUACCACACUAAACUCCAAGAACUUAAAAAAAAAAAAAGGGCCUUGUUUUGUUUUUUAUUUUUUUCCUUUAGAAGUUUGUCAUGCUAACUUAUCUUGUUAAAAUCAGAAAAUAUGUUCUAACAUCUGCAAAGCUCUUGAUUUUAUGCACAAAGUUCUAAGGAAAAGGGAUAUGCACAAAGUUUUAAGGAAAAGGGAUACUUAUUUGCAGAGUGAUAGGCGCGCGGAACAAAGUUCUUGAUUUUAUAUGUAUGUACACGCAUACACGCAUACACCCCUGCAAAACCUACACAGCAUGUUUUUUGUGGGUUUAAAUUGGAAUUGAUACAGCACAUUGCAAGGAUUCAGUCAUAUUAAUUACUUUCAGUAUUUGAUUGCUGCUAUUGAGAGACUAACCUGCUAUAAUGAGAUACUAGCAAUGUACCCUCGCUGCGCUGCGAUCUUUAAUACAUUUCAAGAAAAAUACAGAGAAACGUUUAGCUACUAGGCAAUGCAAAAAAUCAAUAAACACGUGUACAACUGGUAGGAGAUAGGGUUAAAUAUGGCGGAACGCAGCAUAUAUAAGCAUUAUAUAUUUUGAGAUACUCAUCCAUCACUUCUUUUUGUUUUGUAGGAUGGUCUAAAAGAAAAGUUUAGAAAUUGAGUGGAAGAUAUGUUAACAAUAUAGAUCUAUGUAUGGUAUGUUACCAUGUAUGCAUCCGUUUUUUCCAAAGGGAGGUUAGGUACAUUCCUGCAUUAUUUUUAAAAAAGAUAAGAGAAAAAUAAAAGCUCAAAAUAUUGAAAGCGAUGAAAAAUUGAUUGGUAUUAAAGAUACAAUACUAGAGCGACGGCUUUUUUCUUGGGAGUUUCAUUUUCAAAGAGUGCGGUACGAAUGCACUUUUCUGGAGUUGAAAUAAUAGCUUCAUCCACAAGAUAAGAGGAAGAAGCUUCAGCACUAAGAGGUAGUUGUUGAUCGUGUGCUUGCAGUUCCUCUUGCUAGAAAAUUUUUAUGACUUUACAGCUAACCGUACUGGUAUCGAAAUUUUGCGAACUAAAUGUAAUAUGGAAUAUAUAAGUGAGGUUGAGUAUCUUUUUGAUAACAAAAGAUAAAAUGAAUCUAUCAGAUCUUCUACUGGUAGCAAGGUUAACUGCUGAUACACAAAUCAAUUGUUGAGCUAAGUUGUCAAAUAUUACGAAAUUUGCUAUAUCUGUAUUAUCUUCAAUUAUUGCAUUCAAUUUUUACCUAUGUGUAGGUUAUCAGAAAAAAUAUUAUUCUGAUGUUGGACCAUAAAUGCAUUUUUUAAACAAACAAAGGAAAACAAAGAAAAAGGUAGGACAAAUAUGUCUUUACCAUGGUAUGAAAGUUUGAUCAUUUUUGCCACAUUGAUUACACCAAAAACUAUUCCCAUAAACUUUUAUAGCACCUCUGCAAUUAUAGCAUGCUUUAUACCAUCAACCGUAGCUACUGUCGAUCUUUUUUGAAAUAGCUUUGCAUGUAAAUUUCAUCCCCCAAAAAGAACUUUUUAAUUUUUUGUUGACCCUAAAGGGUUGAUUUUGAUGAUGCAAAACAACUGAGUAAAAGGAUCGCUAAUCAAUUGCCUUAAGUAUGCUUGAUUGAUUUCAGAAAGCUAAAAAGAAAGCCUCCAAUAACUCUUCGAUGAAGAACAUAUAUUUAAAGCUCUACACCAAAAAUACAACUCCAAAAGGCCUUGACGCAAUCCUUAAGGUUAGAUGCAAGUACAGAGAAUUUUGUUCUAAACUAUCUCAAAAGUCAAUCCCCAUUUUGCAAUAAGUCAACCCUUACACAUUAUCACUGACUGAUAUGCUUUCACAAGUCGACUCUAGUAGGUAGCGAGUCAACCCCAGAACAGUCUCAGAAGCCAGACAGAAAGCUAUGAAAUUUAUCAUUUGGCGAGUUGACCCAUGAAGAAUACAAGCUGACUGCAGUCUAACAUGAGUCGACCCUAUAAACAAGCAAGUUGACCCCUGAAUGGCCAUAGAGAAAAGAUAAAGAGCUGGAAAUUUUAUCACCUUGGCGAGUGGACCUAUGAGAUAUACGAGCCAACUCUAGUCAAAUAAGAGUCAACCUUAGAAACAAGCAAGUCAACCCCUAAACAGCCAUAGUGAAAAGAUAGAAAGCUAAUAAAACUCAGUCCAUUGAAGAGUUGACCCCUAAAAAUAUUGAGUCGACCCCUAUCGCAAAACGAGUCUGACCCCUAAAUUGAGAGAGCCGACUCCAGAAUGAUCACAAAAGAAAGACAGAGCACAGCAAAAUAAUAAUAAGUUUAAGUCGACCCCUGAAGAUCAUGAGUCGACUUCUGGAGAUUACGAGUCGACCCCUCUAGGCUUGAUAACAGUAAUGGUUACUUUUUCUGUAAAUCAGAAUGGAUAUUUUCAUUUUAUUACGGCUCUUUCAACCUAUCUUACAACUAGAAGAGUGUUCCAACCACUUUCAUAUGGUAUAAAUGUAUGGGAACACCAAAAGAAAUAAAGAGAAUGAGAAGUGCGAAAAGAAAUCAAUAAAAAUAAGAGUAAGAAAAAGAAAACAAAAAGAAGAGAGCUUUAAAGGAAAAAUACUCAAGAGUAUUUACUGAGAACUAAAAGAUCAUAUCCUCUUCAAUUGAGAGUUGGUGAAGUGCAUUUAAGAUUAAUCAGAGCCAACUAACUGAGUCAAGCUUCAUUUAUUACUUUAUAUUUAUUGUUCAAGAGUUAUACUUUAUUGUAUUUGCACAUUACCUUCUAUACUAUGUUGUGACAAGUUUUAGGAACUAAAACUUGGGGAAAGGUCUAUUCAAACUAUGAAUUAGAUUGUGUUGAGCCUGGAUAUAUGCUUCGUGUUGGUUUUGGUUGAUUAUCUGUAAAAAUCAACUAGAUUGAUUUUGAGCCCGGGUAAAAUAAUCAUACUGUAAUGCUGGAAAGAUUAUAGUAGAAAUUUCUAAAAAAAAUGUCUUAGAGAGUGAAUGAAGGUGUAGGGUUAGGCAUUGAACCACUAUAAAUUUUAUUUUUUUGUGUUGCUUAAUUUGUUUGCAUUAAUUUUUUCAAUGUUUACUUAUUAGUUAGUUGCUGAAAUUAAUAUUCACCUAUCAAAUUUUUAUUUCAUUGCAUUAUAUUUAAGUUUUCGAAAGAGAUUCAUAUCUUAUUAUGAAGCUAGGAUUUCUUUUUGUCUAAAUUUAACUCUUUUACUUUAGAAUUCCAUGUGUAUGAUCCAAACCCAAUCUACAUCUGACUUUUUUGGUUGGGAGUAUAUAUGGAUCCGACACAACCCAAAUGAUCUGUUGGAUCAAAAAUUUUAGCUAUAGAUGUGAUCCGACCCGAUCCGAUCUUUCAUUAAGUUGGAUGUGUGUCAACAUUAGAAUCCGAACAAGGAAUCAAAAAGGGUCAGGGUCUCACAUAACCUGGUCUAAUCUGACUCAUUUGCACCCCUAGUUCCAAUAGCAAACUAAGUGCAUGCGUGAAUCUUUGUAUUUUGCCGGAUACAUACACCAAAACAUAUUUAUACCAACUUGGCACGCUUAAGGGACCUUGUAAAACACGUACUGUGGCAUCCAAACACCACUCGACUACAUACGUUGCUUUAUCCUGACAAUGCAUAAGAGAGAGACAUAGAGGGAGUGAAGGAGAGAGAGGUAAAGAUAGAGAGACAGAGGAAUUGGAGUGAACCUAAGAGAGAUCUGUUUAGGUGUAGUGCAGAAGAGAUCUACGAAGAGAGAUCAAAGAUAAGGAAGGGAACACACGCAGAGUCUGGUGAGAGGAAGAAGGGAAGGAGAGUGGCCGUAUCUCAACAUGCAGAGAUAAAUAAAAAGAAGGAACUCCAGGUGAUGAGGGCUAGCAGUGAGAGGGACCAAAAGCUUCCAACGAGAGAGAUGAGAGCAGACCGAGAGUGGAGGUCUUGAGCAAAGGGAGAGUGCAAGAAUUGGCAAGAGAUGGAGUACUGUAGCAAAAGCCUAAAUAGAAACAUAGAGGAGAGAGGGAAUAAAAAAAAAGCUAGGAUACAUCAGUUGGCACGUGGUUCUUCCCGAUUUUUAUAUGGAAGGAACAGAGCUUUGAAUAUUAUCUUAUAUGUCGAACGGCAACCUAAAGAGUACAGCAUGAUUCACCGUCAAAAGUUAUCCGCUCAUUCAUACUUGGAGAGCCUAUGAUAGCUUGGAAUACCUGAGACCCUCUAGCUCCGGCAGCGACCAAGAUGAUCUUCAUCACUUGGGAGCCUUGACCUCCGAUUUUCUCAAGAUAGACUUUGAUGGCAGGAUGAGUGAUGGCGGUUGGAAAGGAGGAGCUGGUUUUGCAGUCAAAAGCCCUAACUCGCAUCCCAAUGCAAUGGAUAGGAACCGAAUCCAUGCACCUCUAUUUCAGGAGUUGAGUUAAGAGCAGCUUGGGUAGAAGUUAGCUAUGUGACGUUAUGCCUACGAGCGGACUUCAUCCCGAUAGAAGGCGACUUGGCCACCAUGAUUGAAUAGAUCCGUGGGUAAUCCAUGGUCAUAGAUAGACCACCCUUACUUCUGCUCAUGCAGUAGUGUCUAAAGGAGUGGACCGCCUUCAGGGCAAGUAAUAUUUUAAUUUAUUGCAACGCGAACUGAGCAAGAGAUUAGGUUGCUUCUUUUGUUGCAGAUCACUCCAGUGAGAUAUUGUGGAUGGAAGGUGUGACCUUGCCACCCUCUCUUCGGAAUAUUCUCAUUUUUUUGACUCUUGGAGAUAUAUUCAUACUAAAUUUGUGGGUUUCAUCUGUCUUAGUGCACACAAAAAAAAUAGAGAGAGAGAGUAUAGCAUGCUCAUAAUUAUACAUGGGGUAGAAUCAUAUGGUCAACCCUAAAUGGGUAUCAUUCUACACAAAAAAAUGUCAUUUUCUUGCAAAAUCAAUUAGGAAGUAGAUUUUUUAUACAAAAUUCAUUUCCAUCAAUUACAUCACAAUUAGAUCAUUCGUUAUGCAAAAAUAUGUUCACAAUUUGUUCAUUCAAAUAAAAGAGCAAAGUUAUUCUUGACGCCAUGUUAUUUAUUGGUGGUAUUUUUCCUAGUUUGAUGCUUUUCUUUGUUUAUUCUAUUGCAUACACCUUUUAACAAUGUCCGCAUGUUUCUUUUAAAGAAAAAUAAAUUUCUUACAUAUAUCAAAUUGAUUGUAGAUACUGAAACUUGAUACUUACUGAAAUAUGGAUGUGGCUUUAAUUUGCUGGGUUAUGCAAAAAAAUUAAGCUAUGAAGAAGCGGCUUGGGAAAAUGAACUGAGCAAAGGUAUGCUUUUGCUAUCAAUGUGAUUUUUUCCUUCGUUCCAAAGAAACGUUUACAAUAUCGUAAUUCUAUCCAAAACAGACUAGUUUUGGGAAAACAUCGAUGCUGGGUGUGAUAUUAGCAUUUCUCAAUAGAACAGCAUUCUGAAUCCUAAGCUAUGUCGACCACCUCAGUGCAUCCAAUCUGACACAAGUAAAAUGCAGAGAUUGGUGAUUGAAAAGCAUGAAAAUGAGUUUUUUAAAAAAAGAAAACAGCAAGAAAAAAAAAAGAACAAGCACAGACAUGUAAGGAGGUUUGACCAUUAAUUGGUACGAUUUUUUUAACGGAUUCCCCCUACAAAGCUAAUUUCUGAGAAGUUAUGUAUGCAAACCUAAUCUGGCCUGUAAUUCUAUGAUUUUGCUUGUUGUCUUGACUCAAUACACCCGUCUAAUAUAAACAGACCUUUAGAUAUACGUACUUUCCAAAAUCCAAACAACUCCCCGAAGUAUCUUCCAAACUACUGCAGGAACCGAUCCAGGAAACUGUGGUCUACGGUCCACUCGCUCUCUCAUAAAAAAUAGGUAAUAUGUCACACCUCUCAUACAUUUCAUGGAAGCAUGGGAUUUGAUCCGUGAGCAUUUUUAAAUUGAAUUGAACAAGAAACAGAUUGCUGAUUCUAUAGUGCACUGUUCAUAUAGCAACAUUCCACAUAAUCUUAUCAUCAAAAAGAAGCCUCAACACAGCAUACAGUACGACGCUGGCCUCUUUUCUGGCUUUAACAACCCAAAAGGGUGUCGUAGGGUACAGGGCUACUGCCACCACAGGUAUGCCUCUCUUUUUUGAGUCAAUUAGAUUUAUGCUUCCCUGGUUUUAACAUCUGCGACAUCCUUAUGGGUCAACACUUUCCUUACUAAUAACUUUUUGUAUGAACAUUUUUUCGUAAGCUGCCUGUCUUUGCGUUAUUUCUAUCUAAACUGACAGCAGAACAAGGAAAACCUGGAGGCGUUCGCCGGAAGAGCAAAAGCUCCCCUCCACCCUUGUCGACGUUGCGUGGUCGGCCGCCUCGGGCAGAUUCGGUGAGCAGAGGCGUCGGCCAACUACCUUUUGCCGUGGGGUUGAGAGGCCAUGGCACGGUUCGGCUCAACCGGGUGGCCUCGGCGGCAGCUUCCUUGUCGGAGCUGGGGGUUGCGGCGUCGACGUCGGAAGUCAGGGGCGAAGCUGGGGCGGCCGCGAGCGACGGUGCCAGCCAGCACUUUCCUCCACUUGUUGACUCGAGUUCUGCUGGGACGGGUGAGCUGUGCCGUUUGGCAUAGGUCCACAGUAUCAAGCCAAGGGCCGUGGAAGUGUUGCUCACUAAGGAAACCGACAUUGCCAUGGUUGAUGGAGUGCAGCAGGCUGAAACAGGGGCCGUGGGGGAGGGUCCUGUAGCCUCAGCGUGCCAUUUGGCACAGACAAACAGUGAAGGAUCACACAACCGUAUCAUGCUCCAAUUGCUGGCUUCAGUAAAGGAAGUAAAGGCCAAUGGUGGGGUGACUGAAAGUGGGUUGAGUUUGGAGGAUUCUUGUAGGUGUGGUCCCGGGGAGUUGGGCCAUGCCGUUCCAUCUAGUGAUUUAUGAAGGUGCUUCUUUGGAACUGCCGUGGUGCGGGGAAACCUUUCUUUGCCCUGGCUUAUCUGGAAGUAGUCUAGAUAAAGCAAGGAGGGCGGUGCCGAGGUCGUGGGGAUUUUAUGCAGUGGAAUCUCAGGGACUGUCGAGAGAUAUCAUUGUCACUUGGGCUUAGAGUAAUUGUAGAAUUGACAUUUUCAAUAUUUUCAUUUCGAAAGGUAAUGGGAACCCGAGUCCUCGCAGCUGUGUAUGCUAGUACAAACUACAGGGAGAGGAGGAUUUUGUGGGAGAAGGCAUCCCAAUUGAUUAAUUAGGGCCAUCCGAUGUUAGUAGCAGGGGAUUUCAAUUGCAUUACCGACCCCUAGGAGAAGAUGGGUGGCCAUCCCUUCACCUUUAAAAGGAAAAUUAAGGAGUUCCAGAAUUUUCUUGAUUCGAAUAGAUUGGUUGACUUGGGCUACUCAGGCUCGCGGUUCACUUGGUGUAAUAAUCAACAGGGGCAGGCCCGAGUUUGGAAGAGACUAGACAGAGUUUGCGCCACGGCAGGAUGGGUUCAGUGCUUUCCAGAUUACCAUGUCAGACACUUGCCUAGGAUUGCGUCGGACCAUUAUCCAUUAUUGGUGAGUACCGAGGCACUUAUUCUUGCUCGCUCUCCUUUUAGAUUUGGAAAGAUUUGGAUUUGUUACCUGCGGUCCUGGCAGAUGGUCAGGGAGGCUUGGAGUACGCCAGUCAGGAAGGAUGCCAUGUACCGUUUGUCCCGGAGGUUGGAGUUGACUUCUAGACAAUUGAGGAGGUGGAACCGUGAGGAGGUGGAAAAUAUUUUUAGAAGGAUGGAGGGCUUGGAGGAGGCCAUCACCGGAUUACAAUCUCAGGAGGUCCAGGGUAGAGGCUUAUCAGAGGAGGAGUUGGGGGAGCUUAGAUCACACCUAGCACUGCAUGAUUUGCUCCUUAGACAACAAAAGACUUUUUGGAGACAGAAGUCAAGGGUUCAAUGAAUUUUGGAAGGGGAUCGGAACACCAGAUUCUUUCAUCAGGCGACAGUGAUUAGAAGACAUCAGAACAGGAUCAGAGCCAUCAGAGGUAAGGAUGGAAAAUGAUGGAGGACCCGGACAUGAUCAGGAGGAUUGUGGAGAGUUUCUUCAGAGCUAGAUGGACAGAGCAGAUAGGGGAUGGGAGUUCAGUGGACAUCCCGAUGCCUCAGAUUCGGGUGUUGGAGGAGGAGUCCGCAGCACUGAUCCAGCCGGUUUCGGAGAGGGAGAUUAGGGAGACAGUCUGGUCUCUGGAAGGGGACAAGGCCCCUGGGCCGGAUGGUUUUCCUUUGGUGUUCUUCAGGAGGCAUUGGUCGAUUGUGGGACAGGAGGUGACAAAGGCCAUACAGCAGUUUCUUAGUACAGCUACUAUGUCGAGGGACUGGCAGAGGACAUUUAUCACUUUGAUACCGAAACGGCAGGAUGCUACUGAGCCGGGACAUUUUCGGCCGAUUAGCCUGUGCUCGACUUUGUAUAAGGCUACGACGAAGAUACUUGCCGUUAGGUUGAGGGACAUCCUCCCGAGGUUGAUCAGUUCGGAGCGGGGGGCUUUUUUGAGAGGACGGAGCAUUACAGACAAUGUGCUCAUUGCCCAAGAGUUCAUGUUUGAUCUUCAUAGGGCACCGAUGAGGAGGAGUUUGAUGGGGAUCAAGCUUGACAUGGAGCGGGCGUAUGAUAGGAUGACAUGGGACUUUGUGCGGCAGUCUUUACAGGGGUUUGGAUUUUCCGAGAUAUGGAUCAGCUGAAUGAUGGGUUGUGUACAGCAUCCUUCUUUUGCCAUCUUGGUGAAUGGUACUCCUUCCCGUUUCUUUGAGUCUACUGGAGGUUUGCGCCAGGGUUGUCCUCUUUCUCCCUUACUUUUCAUUAUCUGUGCGGAUGCACUCUCUAGAGCUCUUAGAUAUGCUGCGACUAUACAGGAGUUAGAGGCUUAUAGGCCGGUGGAGGGGAUUGUACCGAUCUCUCACAUGCUUUUCGCUGAUGACCGUUUAUUGUUAUCCCGGUCGACUCGAAAGGCCGCACAGGUUAUCUAUAGGAUUUUACGAGACUAUUAUGCAGUGUCGGGGCAGUGUGUCAAUUUGUCCAAAUCAGCGAUAUGUUUUAGCCCGAAGACUAGGGUGCAAGUGAAGAAUUCUAUUUUGGAGAUUCUGGGGGUGGGUGAGCAGGUGGGUCCACUGACAUAUCUGGAAAUUCUGCUCUCGGAUCAGCGGCUACGUAGCAGGGACUGUACUUCUCUAAAGCUCAGCAUCAGACAUAGACUGGAGGGAUGGCAGAGACACACACUUUCGAUGAUGGGGAGGAUCACCCUGGUUCGGUCAGUACUCUCAUCGAUUUCGACUUACUUUCUUUCCAACUCUCUUAUUCUAGUGGAGGUUUUGAGGACUAUUGAGCAGCUCUUCAAAAACUUCAUCUGGGGGGGAGUAGUGGCAAAGGCGGUAUCCACCUGGUGGCAUGAGAGGUCGUGUGCCAGCCGACCAGGGUUGGUGGAUUGGGAGUGCAGUCUUUGGUGGUGAGGCAGGAGGCUCUAGCGGCGUAUCAUGUAGCUAGAUUCAUGCUAGAGCCUGAUAGCCUGUGGUCCUCACUGAUGAGGGCCAAGUAUGGGGCUUUGGUCCUGGGGGCACGGGCAGGACGGCACCAUUCGCCAGUUUGGAGGGAGAUGUGCGCCAGGGCCAUGCAGGUGCUUCCGGAGAUCAGAUGGUCUAUCGAGGACGGACGAUCGAUCGAUGUCCUGACAGACAGUUGGGUGACCGAGCAGCCGAUCAGUCGUCUGCCGACCCUGGUGGACUCGGCGAGAUUGGAUGGAUACAGAGUAUGUGAUCUACUGGACCCUAUUGGGUGUCAGUGGAGGGAGGGGCUGAUUCGAGAGGCAUUCAGAGAGCAGCUGGCAGAGUUGGUUCUGGCACUUCUGGUUCCAUCGCGAGGGGAGUCUGACAGGCUAGUGUGGAGGCCAUCGAGACGGACGCGGAUACGAGCUAGCGAUCUUCUUCCCAUGUUCAGUAGGGAGUCUGGCCGGCAGAUUGAGGGAGGAUGGAUUUGAAGGAUGCGGAUUCAUCACCGUGUAGCGCUAUUCAUCUGGAAGGCGGCAUGGGGCUGCCUACCGACCAGGAGUCUGCUAGCCCGACGGGAGUGAGGGUCGCGCAGUGCUGUGUGGUGUGCACGAAGGUGGAGGAGACUACUGACCAUGUUCUUGUGCAAUGCCCAAGAGCGAGAGAGAUAUGGAGCAGUUCACCAGUCCCCUUGCCCCAGUUAGUGGAGUCAGCACAGGCUCUGAUUCUUUUAUUGAGAGACUCCAUUCGGAGCCCCAGGUCUUGGGAGGAGGGCAUCCUCAAAGCAUACCUAGCUUACCAUGUUUGGUUGGACAUGUAUGCUGGCAUAUUUGAGGGUAGGAGGCUUUCACCGAUGAUGGUAGUUGAUAGAGCUAUAUCACAGUUCGGGGAAGUUAUUGCAGCCUCAGCAUUGUUCACUGUUGGGAUGGCCAGGGACAUCUGGGGCACUUCAUCUGCUGUCACAGCGCCCAGGUUCGCCCUCGUUUCUUAGGUGUUCCCACCCCUUGGUCAUCUCAAAGUGGAGUUCGACGGGAGCAUGUCGGUGAAUGGUGCUAUUAGAGGUGUUGGAUUUAUGAUAAGAGACUCCUGGGGCAGGCUGGUGGCAGUCGGGGGUCAGCACACGCUAGGACUUUUGAUUGUAGGAGCAGAGCUUCGGGCAGCAUGGGAGGGGUUGUCAUUUGCGAGGAGAGUCCUCGAUGCCGAGUGAGUGCUUCUUGAGGGGGACUCCUCGGUGGUGAUUGACUGAAUUCGAGGUGUGGAUAGAUAUGGUGAUGGCCAUCCCCUCAUUAGAGAUACUCGGAGACUAGCCCAGAAGUUGGAAGGCUUCCAGACAGUACACGUAUUUCGGAAGGCGAACAGAGCAGCAGACUGGGUCGCCUCCUUCGUCGCCCGGCACUCCGAGGAGUUUCUUUGGACAUCUAUGGGAGACAUUCCCUCCUCUUUAUACUCUUUAUUUUUUCGUGAUCUGACAGGAUGUACUCACUUUAGAGCUAUAUAAUUUGCCGUUUUGACCAAAAAAAAAGAAAAGAAAAGAAAAGAAAAGAAGAAGAAGAAGAAAACCUGGCCUCCAAAAACAUGCUGCUCACAAGGCAUGCAACAAAGGAUGCUGCUAACAACACAGCAAAGAAAAACUGGCCACCACAAGCAAGCUGCUGAUAAUCACUAAGCAAGCAAGCAAACAUCAAUGGCAAAUUGGACCUACCACUCCCUAUGUCUCAAAUCUGACUUCCUAAUAUCCUACGCUGAGGUGAUAAAAUCCAAUAUGAUUACCUAAUUGGGGUCUUGAACUCCUCACAAACUACGUGCUUCUUAAUACCACAAUUAUUUAAGCCUUUUUGGGGCUGAACAAUCGCAGCUAUUUCUGGAGCAACCAAACUGAUUGUAGUCAACAUAAAUAGAAGAUUCAAGCCAGGCCAUUAAGCCAUACCCUUCAAGAAGCUGACCUUAGAUUCAGCACUCUGGAAGUUUUUGUUUUAACAUUCUUAACACAUUCAACCAACUUCCUGUCACUAUUUUGGUUCAUCGACAUCGUUCUCAUGAUAACAAGAUGAAGCCGGUAUUACACAGAUCUUAUCAGGCGCACAACCAUAAAGCCAUGCGUACCAGCACGGCAUCUUGUUUAUUAAAAAAAAAAAGAAAUCAUUUUACACAAAUUUCACUACAUGCUAGGACAUUUAGUUCUUCUGGUACAUAAGAUUUAACACAUGAUUCAAGAAAUACUAAGAAGUGUACUUUGUCAAAAGGUACAGAUAAGUAGAAUUUGCAUGGCUCCAAUUCUUAACUCCCAUAGUAUUUCAUGUACAUAUAUAGUCCAUUACAGUUUGUAAAGAACCAAGUCAAAAUCGAUACUCGCAUAAAACAGACUAUUGCAACCAACUCAUAGACAUUGGUCAACUGAUUAGAAAGAAAAAGCUCAACAGACUAAAUGAUUAACUAUGCACAGUUUUAUCAGUCACUUGCAAAGAAUACUUGAAAAAAGAAUCAAAGCCAACACUGCAGAAAAUAAUAUUAGAACACCAAAUUGGAUCAGUGAUGCAAUGCAUGCUGAGCACAACACAUGCUAGCUUUAAUGAAAAAUAUACCACCACUGCCCGAAACAUACCAAGCACAAAUAAUCAUGAAAAUUCUCAAGGUGGCAAAUACUACAUUACUGCGAAUAAGAUGCACUCACAUCCUUCCAAUGGUAGUAAAUAUUUUCCAUCCAUGGCAUAAUUUAAUUUUAACACUAGCCUCAAGCUACAAAACCAUUGUGAUAUUGUGCUCAAGCCAGUUCUUUUACAGGUCAGGAUCACAUCCUGUAUAGGGUUCUAACAUACGGGUUACAGUAAAACAUAAACACAAUCUCCAUUUCUUCACGCCUCAGAAACCUAAUGGAUACAUCUGAUAUAACUGAUGUAAAAUAUAUGCUACCAAGUAACAAAAGGACCAGAUGGCAAUAACAACCACAGCCCAGUACAGUGGCAACAGCCAUACAAGGAAACCAGCCAUCAUCACAGAAUUAAGAUGUAUUCAUCGCUUCAGCAUGAUAUGCGUCCAAGUCUUUGUCUAGUUCAUCAGCUGACUUCUCAACAGUUUGCUUCGUCCCACGACCACGACCACGGCCACGGCCACGGCCACGACCACGGCCGCGACCACGACCACGGCCACGGGUUCCUCGCUGAAAGCCUCCACGGCUCCACCUGCUCAAGGAUAAGUACAAUCACAGUAACAUGCUAGCUAGCACCAAUAAUGUGUGUCAGGAUCUAAUAUAUUUAUAAUCCAAUCAAUUGUUAUACUUACCUCAUCAUAUAUAAGUUUAGAUCAAAUAUGUUAUUUAAAGGAAGUUGCACAAGCUGAGAACAAUAACUGACUCGUGACCAGUAUUAGCUCAAAAUAUCUUUAAGUAUGUUCCAUGCAUGGCCAGGAUGCUAAUAGCUACUUGCUCAGCAAUUGGAAAAGGUCAAAACAUAUUUUGGUCCAUAAACCUUCAAAUUUACAAUUAAGCGACAAUCAUGCAUCACUCACAAAAAGAGAUUACCAUGGGUAAAUAAACUAUUCUCAAAUCCACAAUCCUUAAUAGUUUUACAUCCAGAAGUCGUAACAGUUCUUUAAAGUCAGAUAUGUCCACAUGAUGUUUUGAAGCAGUGUAUGUCAUAGCAUCUUCAAAUUCAAUUGGAUCUCUACUAUAGUUAGUAUAUCAGUAGCAUGAAGCAUAAGAUUGAAACUGAUUUGUUAAUAUACAAAUUUUCCGUCGUUAGCAGUGUUUGAUGCAGGGACUUGAAUACCACCAAUUAAGUAUGGUGCCACCAGUUGGUUUUACAAUGGCUUUCUGAUAAUGGGUGGGUGCAGAAGGCCAAAACAGGCCCAAACCAGGUCAUCCCACAUGCCCAAUCGAAACCGAUUGGAAUGACCAGGACCAUGGCUAGUUCAGCCAAACCCAAACCAAGUGGCUCGGCGUAUUUUCAAAUGAAAAAGGGUGCACAUGGGGCUAGCUCUCUCUCUUUUAUUUUGUCAUGAGGUGCCCCCACCCUUGCCUUUGGACCGACAAAGGAGAGGGAAAGAAAGGGGGGAAAGAUAGAGAGAGAGAGGANNNNNNNNNNNNNNNNNNNNCCGACAAAGGAGAGGGAAAGAAAGGGGAAGGAGAUAGAGAGAGAGAGGAUGGGAGAGAAGGGAAGCAUGCCAAAUUAUGUUUGACAAGUGGUUUCAUUUCUAUUAAUUUUUUAAAUGUCAUCAAAACCAUGAGUGUCAGUACUAGUACUGGCAUCAAACACCCAUCAUUAUACUAAAAACCACUCAAAAAUGAAAAAAUAAAAAAAAUACACUUAAGAUAUACUUAAUAUAAAAAGUUAAGGUGAAAGUAAAAGAAAAAACGAAAACAACAAAAAAGGUCCCAGCACAGUAGUAGGAAUUCAACACACUCAGAGUCAGUACAAUAUACCCCAGUACCAUACCAGUUCAACAGAAAAUUAAUACCACCAUCAAUACUCAUAUUUAAAUCCUUGGUAAUAGUUCAAGGCAAUGUUUUAUGAAACAUGAUUGACCCAUUUGGUUUGACCAACUCAAACUAUCAGUCACCAAUUAAUUUUGGGAUGGUAGGGUUAAAGCCUAAAAUUAACGAAAAAAAUAUUUACAUUGCGAGUCCUUUUUGUUCAAUUAAACCUAGGCAUGUAUCGAGCUGGCCAAGUUCGGGUUGAGACUGGGCUUCACUCUAGAACCAGCAUGCUCGCCCUAGCUCAACUUAGACCCAUGUUUAGGCUACAAACUUUCACCAAAACCUAGACCAACCACUAAUUUCCAAGCCGAUGACCAACCUAAACUAGCCAAACCAAUCUAGAGCGCAAAUCCUCUAUCCUUGUUCCACGCCAAAUAUGUGGCCCUAUUCUAACAUGGCAAAGAAGGAAAGAGGAGAGGGAGCGGAGGGCCAAAGGGAAGGAUGAGACUGAUGUGAUUAGAUCAAGAGAAGUAUUUAGAAAAGAGAGAUCUAGUGUUUAAUAUAUUCAAACUAUAAAAUAAAUAUCUUUUAGAACCUUGGUCCAGAUUGAGUCGGGCCCAUUUAACCAUUUGCAAAACUAACGUAUCCUAUAAUACAAUCAGGCGUCAAAUUGUAUGCCUGACCCAACUUGAAACCCUAACUAGGCCUGCCCAAAAUUGGGUCGGAUGCUGCCAGGUCCAAUUUGCAUAGGUCAAAGAUCAACCAUUAAGUCAGCCGCAGCUCUUCAGCCCAGCAAUGUUAGCUAAAAACUGAAAGCAGAAAAAUAUAGAAUUAAAUGUUUGAUUAAAUGAAACUCUCAUCUAGCUCUUUUACCUUCAUUCAUCUCACAACACACUCUCAUCUUGCAAAAUGCCCAACAUCCAUCAAUCUCCAAUCAAUCAGUAUCUUGAUGCCAAGAAAAAGCCGAGACCAGGAUUAUUGGCUCCUUGGCAUUAGUGGUCUCUCAUCCCUCAGCCACUCAACAUCAAAAAGAGGCCAACCACAACUGGUAGCACCAGUCUAUUGCCAUCUAGAUCCGGGGAGUGUUUCUCUUGUUCAACAUAAUCACUGCGACCAACUAGAUUUAGCAAGUAGUUGGUCAACUCCUCAUUUAUUCUUCUCCUCUGCCCCAACAGUCAAAUCAAAGAGCAGAUAGCCAAUCACUGCCCACGGGUUGUAUCUAAAAAAUAAUAGUGGUUGUCAUCCUCCAAGGGCCAAAUUAAAGAUCUGAUACCUGUCCUCCACAGGCUAGAUCUCCUCUCCAUGUUCUUCUGAGCAUCCAGGAGCAGAAAAGAUCUGGGGAGGAUUUGGGAGUCGUUUGACUGUGCAAGGACUUAGGGAUUGAGAAGGUUUAAUCUAGAAUUUACUCAAUUGAACUUAUAACCAUUAAAAUCCAGCAAGCAGUCCAAGCUUACAGAAUUGAUUUUCAUUAAGAAUAGACCAAACCUAGAACAUGAAAUCUGCUACUGAAGAGACAGUUGCAACAACUAGCCAUCCCAGCCAGCGCCUAAAACUGCCCAAAUUUGUAUUCUUAUGGCCACAUUCUAGCUGCUCCAAAAUCCAAAACAGAUCUCCUCUUACUCCAUCCCUUUCUUGAAUCCAAAUCUGUCAUCUCUGAUGUCUUACAUUGAAGACAAUUCCUCAAGUGUGGUGUCCCUCCAAAUCUGUCAUCUCUGAUGUCUUACAUUGAAGACAAUUCCUCGAGUGUGGUGUCCCUCCAAAUCUGUCAUCUCUGAUGUCUUACAUUGAAGACGAUUCCCUAAGUGUAGUGUCCCUUAUUUCUGUCAUACAUCUAGUAUUAUCCAUUAAAGUUCGAGAAUGCCUUAAUCCAAGAACAGCCCUCUAUAAUUUAAUGUCAAAUUCCAGCUAAAGGAAACUUUUGGCAGCCAGGGGCAUGAUAUGAAAAAUAGCACAUCGCACAGCAUGUCAAUCGGUGAUCAGAAAAUAUGAGUUUCCACACUACCAGCAAAAUGAGUGAAAAGUCAUGAUAAAUAUUGGCCACUAGGAAGACAAUAAACACAACCACUAACAGCAUGACUUCAAAGAAAAACAAGAUAUCAACUAAUUAAACAACUCAUCUAAGCAAAUUAAACCAGUGAGUCCCAAAAUGCAUAGAUUCAUGAUCUGAAAUCAAUCAGAUUCUUAGAAUUGUAUGUCCAUACAAUCAAGGACCACUAUAAUAUAUAUAUAUAUAUAUAUACAUAUUUUAGGGCAAAUAUUUCUUCAUGAGGCCAGAAAUUCAAACUUCAAAUGCAGUGUCAAAAUUUCAAUUAUCAGAAGCAGGAUAGAAACAACAGGUAUAGCUAAGUACGGAUACAACUCAUAUGCAAAAGUCGAUUCAGGAAUUACUAGACUUCUUCAAGAAAUAAAUCUUCAGAGGUCAUGAAACUUCCCGUAUUCUCCACGAAAAUUACAAUGGUGAGUCUGAAAAACAGAUACAUGAAUACCUUACAUGAUUCUUUGAAGACAAUUAGACAAGACAUAUGGAAACUUGAGAAACAAAUCUAUUGAUCACAUAUCAUAUAUAAAAAAUUCAGUGAGAUGAAGAAACUGCAUUAUAAAAAGAAAUUCAAAUAUUGGAACAGUAAUUUAUUGGUUUUUAUGAGCUUACCCUGAAGUACGAUUAAAUGAACCUGAGCUACCUGGACCAACUCCUGGCCUGAAAACAUAAUUUCUUGCAGUGUUAACAAAUAAGGAACGAGGAACAUCUAAGAGUAAAGAGAAAAAUAACAACUAUUGUAGAAGUUUACAUCUAAUAACAAGUUUCCGCAAAUAGUUCAAAGAUAAUGUAUUUUUUCUUGCAUGUCUCCCCAUCAAUUUCACAUUACUUUGUUCAAUUUAAAUCAAGAUUGAAGACCAAUAAGUAAUCCAAACUUUUUUCUAUUAUGUCAGAUCUAUUUAUAAUGAGAAACUGGUGCAAGUUAUAUCACCUAAUCAAGUAUAAGCAGGCAAUAAAAUGAGCUUACAUGGAAUUCUGUGAUAAUAGUACAGUCAUUAAGGUUGACUAUGUUCUGUUGUUCAGGAUAUCGGGAACUAAAGGGAAACAAAGUGGAUAAGAAAAGUAUCCUAAUAGUAUGAAUGUUGAGCAUUAGAGUUCAGACAAUAGAUAACAAUGUAAGGAGUUGGAGUGAAGAUUUGUGAACCAAGCAUUCCUGUAAUCUAAAAUAGAAGUCCUGAAUUUAAAAGACGAUUCUGUCUUUCAAAUUUUCUUCCCAGUUUUCCAUUAGUUUUAACUUUUUAACAAUUCUGUAAGAGCAUCUAUCAUAUAUCAUUACAUAUUUCUACCAAUCCAGAGAACAUCAUGACUUCUCUUCCUAUGGUACCCUCUCCAACUCUGCGCACUUGUGCAAGAUCAGAAGACUCCUCUCCUCACUCUUCCAUCUCUCUCNNNNNNNNNNNNNNNNNNNNAGAAGACUCCUCUCCUCACUCUUCCAUCUCUCUCUUUUUAAUUGUCUCAAUGAUUUUCCUAUUACAUCCUGUGGAAUGCAUGCUUGCUCUGUUUACAUCUAUUCUGAAUGCCUUCAAUUCUAUAUUAUAAGGACACCAAGAAAACCAUAUCAUGCUCAUCUCCCAAUAUUGUGGGCUACCACCCCAAGUAAAACGAUUUGAGCACCAAAAGCCUUUUCUUGCCCAUCCAAAGAUAAUCCCUCUUUCCCGCCCUCCCUCUCCUUCCCACCAUCUCAAGAUUUUAACCAAAUAUAGGAUUUUCUUUUUGGUCCACUCCCCAUGAAAAACCAAACCAGAAAUAAGUAGAGCUUUAGUUAAGACUCAUACUCCUAAUUAUAUAUCUGAUGAGUGAGCAAGGUUCGCCGUCUUCGCACCAGACCCCAUAUCAAUACCAUCCUAUUACAGUGUUAGUACGUGGUUCGGUACAGUACAACUCGGCAUACUGAGCAUCGGUUUGGUAAGGUAUGGCAAUACUGGUACAGUAAGGUACCGUCCAGUACGGCAAUCCUUAUGAGUGAGAGCACCGCUUUGAUAUAUCCUUAAUAUAUAAGAGUGGCUUAAUUUCCCAAUUUUUAAAUUUCCAUAAUAACCCUAUAAGACAAUCUUAAAAGUUUAUAUCAAUCAUGCAUAGGCUUCUACAGCAAAAACAAAUAAAUAAAUAGAGGAUUUUAACAUUAUGGACUCUAAGAAGUCACUUUGGGAAAAGCUCGUUAAGUUGAGAUUUCCAUGAUUUUAUGCAGAAUGAGAGUAGCAAUUCUUUCAAAAUUCAAAUUUAUAACAAUUUAUUGGUCACAGCACAACUUAAAUUUAUCAACAUCGAGAACUCAAUAUAGCAGAUAAAUUUUAAAAAUCAUAAACAAUGCAACUUAGUACCUAACCAUAUUUUUCAAAAUUUUUCCUAUAUCUAAAUCUUUAAUAGUAGCCGCACACAUUUGCAUGUGCAUUACAACGAGUAUUUAUUAACAUUAAGUAUGAGAUACUCGUGAACAAAUGAAUGCCCUAAUCUCUCCAAAUCACUAUAUUAGUCUUUCUUUCUGAAAAAGAAGAGGAGGUGAGAGAGGAUAUAUAAGGGAAAGAAAACACAUAUUCAUACGAUAAGAAUUCAUUUUCAGUAGACAAUCUCUCUGUAAUGACCUUCCAACAUAUUCAUCUGCAUCACCUAUCAAAUAAGAACUUUAAAUUAUACCAUGCAUUGCAUCAUAAAACCUAUUUUUCAAAUUUAAAAAGGUCUAAAUGACAAGAUCCACAAUGAGAGAAGUAACAACAUUGCUGCCACUAGCUACAAAAUACAACCAAGCAGCUAGCACCUAGCAAGAAGUAGUAGGAGAGUAGCAACAGACAGUAGGUUGCAAGGCCAUGGCCAACAUCCAUCAAGAAAGAGGAGGCAAGAAGAAUAUAAGCUAGCAACCAAAGCAGAAGAGACAAAAAAAAGGAGGAAGAAUGGCUAGAUGAAGAAGAGAUGGAAGCCAAAAAAGAUGAUGACAAAUUCAGGGAAUGGAGAAGAAGAUGAUUCAUCUCAGGAAGAAGAAGAAAGAAAAAAAUACAUAUAAACAAACCUGGUACUAGUGCUCGCCACUACAGCGGUCGCUGCCAGUCAUCACAGCGAUUGACCUAUUGAUAACCACUAAUCAGCCUACUAGCUAAUACUAGGUUUGUGAUAGCAUUUACUGCCCUUCCACAUGUCCCAUAUCGAGCUCAAAUAGUAAAGAAAAUUGGAAAAGAAACUAUUAAAGAAGUAGGGUUUAAGCAGGCUUGGCCUAGGCAACCUGACUUACAUGUGUGCCCAAGUUUAACAACAUUGGCUUGUAAAAUUGAUGCCAUCAUCUGAAGUAUAGAUUAUGUAUUUCAAUAACCACUAUGCUUAUGGUUGUGCUUUUUACAUAUAUAUGCACAUGUAUAUAUUUGUGUAUGUAUGAAUACAUUGUGUAUAAAAUAGAUAUAUCUUCAUACAUGUAUCCCAGUUGUAUCCUACCCAAGGUUCAUCAUAUCAGUCUAUCCAUAUCCAGUAUCCAUGUCCAUGCUUCAAAGAUCAAUAUACUACUACAAUUUAAGAGAAUGCGAAUUUAUUUAACAAAAGUUCGACAAAGGAUAAUUAUACUUAUCAAAUAAUCAUGAUAAGUAUUUAUAAUAAUGUGGGUGUUAACUAGACAUAAAAAGAUUUUGUUGUAACCAAUAUGUCUAUUUUUUAUUCAAGAUCAUCAUAACAGUGGUGGAUGAUUGUGCACUAGUCCCUAUUACACAUGCACCCAGCAAUAGCACUGAACUCCAAGAUCUUCCCAUCAUUAAGAAGCUAGCAUCAGCAGAUUUAGACCCCACAAAAUAAGCAAAUAAAUAAAUAAAUAACCAAAUUUAUUUUUUAGGCAUGUAAUUACAGAAUCAACUUGAACUUACAACACCACCAGAAGCCGCAAAAAGCAUCAUUAAUUGAUAUUCCGAGGUAACAUACUAAAAUAAACGAACAAAAAUUUAUAAUACAUUUUAUUUUUUUUAAAAAAAGAUCUGCAGGAAGGUUCACCUACAGAGGAGCAACCUGGACUGGUUUAACCUAAACCAAGCCUAUACCACCCUGUGGUUUGAGUCAUGAUGGACCAAUAUUUAUCCUAUUUAACCUAGGUCAGGCUUGGGUUAUUGGCUAAUUUCAAGUCAGGAUGGCUUCAGGUUGAAGGUUCAGGCAAUCUGAACCAACAAAAACAAUCCAAUUAAAUAUAAGAUGUCUCUCAACCCACUCCACCUCAUGUAAAACCCAAUUUCCGGUGAUCCAAUGCAAUCCAAUGCCACAUUCUAUAAAGUAUGGAAUGUCAACCUUGCAUAAUGUAAAUCCUCCUAGAACAAAAAUCUGGCCCCAGCCCAACCCAAAUGUGUUUGGGUUAUUUGGACUAAGAUUUGGGCAUGGUUGGUUGGUCUAUUUUCCAGUCAAUCAGGUACCAAGGUUGGACAUUUUGUUGGUCAGAUGACUCAGGUUAGUUUGGCUUACCUGCUGACAUGAAAUACAGCCCGCACAAGUUAGGUUGGACAUUUUGUUGGUCAGGUGAUUCAGGUUAGUUUGGCCUACCUGAAUACAGCCCACCCAAGUUGCAUCCCUUUUAUCAAGGUAAAAAAACAUGAGACAAAUGGAAACUUAUUGGCAAUGGCCUUCAGAAGCCCACUAAAUUUUAGUUCCUCCAGAUAACUAACAAAUAACAUAUCAUAUAUAUUGAUUUAGCUUUCAACUAAGUGAAAUCUCCUACUUCUGUUUAAAGAAUUCUAGAUAUAUUAAUCCAUCCCUCCCCAUCAUUUUAGGUGCCUAUCAGAGUGUAUGGCAAUGCCCAAAACAAUCCAAGUAUACUGAGAGAGAGAUCACAGAAAUAUCUUGUAUAGAGAUAGAACAAAUUAUUUGCAUGAUAAUAUUCACCAAAAAUUCUUAUUGCCAACCUCAAAGAAUAUAAAAAGGCUUAAUUAUUAUUGUUGAUUAUCACUUCUAGAAAUAUUUUUUUUACAAUAAUCACCCAAGAAUACAAGAUGAAAAGUGAAUGUCAGAACAAACCAUGUGACUAGUCAAGAGCUCACAGCAUAAAAGAACUGAAAGGAUCAUAAUCUCAAAACUGAUUCAAACAUGUGGAUACUGCCAUCAAGACAACAAAGACUAGCUAAAACUAGGUGGAGGAGAGUGCAAUAUAAUCAAGUAUACAAAAGGGGUUAUAUGCUUUAAUCUUAAAAACAUGAUUAGGCUCAUAAAACUCCAAUCCUUUUAACUUAUGCCCAACAAUUCGGUAUAACUUACAAAAAGAAUGAACUUACUACCAAACAAAGAGGUAAGACCUAAAGAAAUACAAAUGCUACUUUAAAAGAACAAUUAGUUGAAAAGAGGCAAAGAUUAUAAUCAGUAGAAGAAGUGCAGCUAGGUAACCAAAAAUAAGAGAGAACAACAUACGUCAUGACAACUGUCCUCUUCUGUCUCCCAGUUGCACCCCCAACUACAUUUACUCGAGGAGUGACAGGCAAGCCUAAAUUAGUUCCAAUCACUUCUAUUUUCAUAGCUUUACCAUCCAACUGAACAUUGUUAUAUCGUUUUAAGGCAGCCAAGGCAUCACUUCUCCUUGUAAACACCACUUCUGCUGACCCCUGACAAGAAAUUUAAAGAUAUAAAAUCAUAAGAAAAUUCGUGUAAUGACCAAUUGUCCACAAAAUAAAUUUAAGAAGCAUAUGAAGCCUUGGGAAAACAUUCUUCUGCAUUAAAUGUGCCAAAGGGAUAUUUUUGUAAAGAAAUAAACCACCAAGCAAAUCAGGGGAUUGAUUGCACUUCUACAAUCAAAAUCACCAAUCUUAUUUCACUGCUUUGAAUUAAGCCUAUAAGAAUAUCGAUAUUAACAAAACAAAAUCUUAAAGUUGGCCCACCUAGUAUCAAAACCAAAUAUGUUGCUUGAGACCUAGUUUCCUGGUUCAAAGUUCCACUAGUUGGGGGCAAACUCCCAUGCUAUUAAACAAUCCAUUUUGAAAGUGAUAAUGAUGGGGCAGGGCAAAAAGACACUGUCUUCUUGGCACAUGGUGCUCAAAAGGCCAGAGAUGGAGAAAAUCAGUCAUUUGAUUAAAAGAACAUGGCAACAUGGCAACAGAUUCAUGAUAUAUCAAUUCAAUGUAGAAAAAAACAGAUGGAAGAUGGGAUACUUAGGGAUUAAUACAAUCCAAGAAACAUUGAUUCUAGAUAUGUUCUACUAUCCUAUUUAAGGUCGGCGGAUUGUCCCAAACCAGGCAGUUCCGACCGUUCCGAGCCAUACCGGUGGCUCACUGGUGCAGUUCCGGCAAUGGAAACAGGACCCGUUGCCGAAACCGAAGAAGAAAAGAGAGAGCGAGGGGGGGAGAGAGAGACGGAAAGGUCGGGACGCCGACGGAGGCCGCGCAGGUGAGGCCACGGCCGGUUCCUCUGUUUCGAACGAAAUAAGGGUCCGACCGCGGCUUAAAAAAUUUUAAUUUUUAAGUGAAGUUAGUAAAUCGUUUGCCGACCUCACUUAAAAAUCGUAAAAUUUUUUAAGCCACAGCCAAACUCCUGCCUCCACCGGGCCCCACGGCCUCCAUCGGUCUCCCGUGGCCUCCGCCAGCCUCUCUCCCUCCCUCUCCCCCUUCUCUCUCUCUUUUUCUCUCUCCCACGGUAUCGUGCCCUCGUCGGUAGAUGCCUGGCACGGCCUGUACCAACUCGUGCUGCCAGAGAACCAGUACGGUGCCCGAUACCGGUUCCUCCGACCUUGAUCCUAUUUAUUAAUUCCAAAUAUGUUCUACUAUCCUAUGUUCUACUAUUCUAUUGAUUAUUGAGCACUUGAGCAAGCAUGGAAAUAUAUAUUAAAAGAAGCAAUGAUACCGGCAGUUAGUUCUUUGAUUAAUGAAAAUAAAGUGUCUAAGGGUGGUGUAAGUAGUAGGUGCAGAAACAAGAUAGAAGGUUCUUACAACUAAUUCCCAGAUACACAAAUUAGAUGCCAAAGUAGCACUUCAUUGAUAGUUCUAAGCCCAUAAUUGCUCUAUUGAUAUAACCAUUGCAAAGACAAGGUAAUUAAUAUAGUUGAAAUCACAGAUUACAAAAUCAUGGUAUGGGCCCAUGCUGGUAACUGGCCAGUAUGAUACGUCCAAGACAAGAUACAAGUUGGAACCUAUAGGUUCAAAUGAGAAAAGACAAAAUUAAAAAAAAAAAGACGAGAAUCGAUGCACCAAGUGAUAUGAGAGUGGUUCUGACUGGUUUGCCAACAAGUCAAUCCCAAGGGGUGUCAGGUACUGAUCCCUGGCUGGUAUAGUUCGUAGAAAAGAAAAGGUGCACCAAGUUCUAUGAGGGUUGUUCUGACUGGUUCACCGAUGAAUCAAAUCUCAAGGGGGUCUCGGAUACUUGCUCCCGGAUAGCACAGUUUGUAACGGCAAGUAUAGUUCAUAGUUGCUGAUACAGUACAUACCACCAAGCACAGUUCGUACCUGGCCAGUACAAGCAUGCAUUCAUCCAUGCAUGCAUAGCACACGCCAGCAUGAGCGUAUAUAUACAUACGUACUACAUGCAUAAAUGGUAAAAACCAGCAAGCAUGCAUGCAUACUUACAUGCACACAUACAUAUAUUUAUGCAAGUAUGCCUAUGCGUCUGUGUAUAUACAUAUGUUUACAUACAUACAUGUAUAGGUAUAUGUAUAUAGUUUUUCUUAGAUAAAUAGGGCUAUCUUUGGCAUGAAUAUAUACAAUUAGAUCAUUUAUCAAUUUGCUGCUUUCCAGUUAUGAAUCUCACCAGAUCUUAAAAUAUUGUUGUUCAGCAUUACAUUAUUUUAUUGCAGCAUAUACAUGAACCUCUCCAUGUAUUGAUCAGCAGCAUCAACUUGCAAGCAGAAUUCCCAAAUUGAUAUCUAUAUUCAUGGUAAGUUUGAUACCCAUAGAUUAGAACAUCAGAAAGUUCCUUCGCUCCUACUCUCUCUCAUUGAGAUUGUUAUGCUAAUUCAAUAUUCUAACAAAAAGCUAAUUCCCUUCUUAACAAGUAUUAAAUUAUUAAUUCUAUUCCUUUCUUCCAUCUGCAUUCUACUACGAAGUACAUCUAUUUGUUUCUAUUGGAGAAUUUGGAGAGUAGCAUGCAAGUACAGUUACAAUACUAACAGUCAAAUGUUUUACAAUCUAGAAAGCAAGCAAGAUAUCCUAACAACCAUGAAAUAACAACACCAGUCAUGGAUGGCUUCCCCUGAAACCAACGCCACAUCUGAAUUGAUUUCUCAAACUAAAGCAUCAUUCCCAAGUACUGUGCUACAGUUGUCAUUAUUAAUUUCACAUAUCUAAAUGCAAUUAUCCAACAGAUUUUUGUAAUUCAAAGAUUCACAUGUAUAAUACCAAUCUGACAAGUUUAACCUUAUAAACAUGAUAGCAGGAAAAUCAUAAUUUUUUAUCUAAUUCAAUAUUCAGAUUAAUAGGCUGUUUCAAAUCAUUCUUUAACAAUAAUGGGUGCGUCCAAAUAACCAAUCCACUCUCCAGAUCUACACAUCCUGAAAGCUAUAAAACUAAUGCAAAUAUUUCUCCCUUGUGAAAACUUUCACCUUAUUCCCAAUAUACUUAUUUAGUUCUUUUUAUUUCCACAGCUCACUUUCGAAGUUUCAGCUUAUCAUGCCCAAGAUAUACUUCCAAUAUUUCUUUGUUCACCUAAUUCCCAAAUACUAGACAUACCCCUAGCUUCCAAGAAACCCAACAACUGCCAACGCAAUUUAUUAUGCCAAAAAUAUACCGUCAAUAUUCCUUUCUUGCGAAAGCUUUCCUCUUAUUUCCAAAGUACAUUUAUAAAGUUUCAGAUUUUUUGCUUGAAAUAUACACCUAUGUUUCUAAGAGGCCCCGUAGACUAUCAAUUAACUUUAUUAUGGCGACAAUAUAAACCCCGAAGAUGGCAAGGGGGAGAUUGAAGACAACAAAAAGAUCCACUCAGGUUAGCAUGUUAAUCAGGUUGCUUCCUAUCUCUCAGUUGUUCUUAUGUUACAUGAUAUAUCAUAUGGUUGGGAAAAGGAAACUAAACUACCAAACAAUACCCAAAACCAAAUUGGCAUCAUACUCAUUUAAAACUGGUUAUUUAUAGAUACUACCCAUUGACUUCUAUAAAUUUUAUGAACUAGAUAUUUUAGAAUAAUUUGCUUCCACACAUUACUGUUUAUUAUGUAAUUUUAAGCACUAAAUUUUGCCGCUAUUUUGGAGCUUUAUGUGCAAACGCACAUGUAAUGUAACUAGUAAUCAUAAAUGCAGUUCAAGUACAAGAAAAAUAAGUUGGUGGCCUUGAAGUUACAAAAUGAGAGAGAGAGAGAGGGAGAGAACAAAUCUUUCCUCUUCAAUUACAAAUUUCUCUUAAUUAAGUGGUAUAAAUGACCCUGAGAAAUGUGUCAUGUAAAUGAGCAUAAUCCUUCAUAUAGCCCGCCUGAUUUUAGUGAAAUACCCCUAGCACACAUGACUUGUAGAGCUGAAAGAUUUUGACAUCCCCUACCAUUCGUCUUCUUUCUCCGUUAGCUAGAUGUUUUCCACUAGUGCAAAAAUGCACUAGAAUUUAGUGUAAUUUAUGCACACCAAGGAAAAGUAAUAUGGAUGGCCCCUAGUCACAGAGAAAACCAUAUGUGAAAACUCAACCAUAAGGCUUUUAAAUUAGAAUAUUUUGGCAGACAGAGACCAGUUUUAUCAGAUAUAUCAUGUCAAGCCCCAUAGUAUGAGCAAUAAUUGUUAGAAUGCAUCUAUUCUCAUCAAAGGUAACAAAAAGAUUGACUGUCUCCAAAUUACAAGCACAUAGACCAAAGUAACAGUCUAUUUCUCAUUUAAACUCAAAUGUCUAUUUAUUUUGGGUUCUCUUCUCCUUUGAUUAAAAACUCAGGAAUGAAAACCAGUUAUUAGAAGGUUCAAUCCUAGGGUAACAUUGUCCCUCCAAGAAAUCAGGGUAUAGGAUAUUCCAUUCUAUGCUGCAUUGUUUUUCCAUAUGGUUUUUCCCUAACAUGACAAUUUCUUACAAAGAAGAAAGAAAUUAUGACACAAUUUGAAAGCCAAGUUACUAGGAUACAGCUUGUCAAGGGUUGCACCAAGGUUUGCCAUACCAAUCGGUACCAUACCAUAUCAAGCGUACCAUAUCAUAACGGUACCAAACAAUAUACAGUACCAUACCGUACUGACACUUAAUACACCGAGUUGUACUGUACUGAACCGCAUAUCGACAUUGUCAUAGGAUGGUACCAGUGUAGGGCCCGGUACCGAAAUGGUGAACCUUGGUUGUACCCUUUUAGUACCUACGAGUUUCUUCUUAAGGACCUUACCCAAGUGUUAUAACUGCAACCUGGACUAAUUGUUGGGUACAAGUACUUGAGGCUAAGGUAAAGUGUCCAGACAACAAAACCUGAAAUUAACAGAACAAAAGGAAAAUAGUUGACAAUAACAACAGAAAACAAAUUCUUUACCCAAAAAGAUUGAGUAUAACACCAGCAAUGACAAUUAUUUUCCCAAUUGAAAAUCAAAAUUUCAUCAGCUCAAGCAAAGAGUAGUCCUCCCAAUUCAAUAUAUCAAACAAAAUAAGAUUCUACAUUAUGAUGUGUUUCCGAUUUUUCUAAAAUGACAAUUUCAAUAAUCUAAGAGACAACUUCUAUCACAGACCACGUGCUUUAAAUAGAAAAUACAAACAUUAGGCACUUCAAAUGUAGAAAAGGGAGAGAAGACAAGAAACCCACAGUUGGACGACCAUUUCUGUCAUAAUGAACAGCACACCGCCUAAGCUCACCAACCUCCGAAAACAGCUCCUGAUUCCAGUCAGAAUAAAUUCUUGAAAUGAUAAGCUUGACUCUCAAUAGGAAGAGAAUGACCUCAAAUACAUUACCUGCUUCAAGGGUUCAGCUUACCUUCAUAUCUUCAUUAGACACCCCAUAAUCCAAGUUCGAAAUGUACAGUUUUGUACCCAUUUCAAAUCCUGAAAGCCCAGCAGCUACCAUGCUAUCAUCAAAUAGAUCAUGCCUCUGUAUCAUAUCUUUUGCUUUGCUGAAGGACUGACAAACAUGAGAGCAAAUGUCCAUAUUGCAGAAUGAUUGUGUUAGCACAAAACCCCAAACUCAUCAACACAGCAUACUUGGCGAGGAAAUUAGUAUAUUUUAAUUCAACCUUUGGACGACAGGAAAAAAAACUCAGCAAUAUAGCUAGCAAUAAAGAUGUAUACUUGUGUAUGAGCCAUUAACUAAACCCAAACCAAAUAGCAUACAAAGCAUACAGAUAACAAAUGGAAGUAGAGAAAUCCACCCAUAUCACAUAUGCUGAUGAUAAGCUACUUGCGAGAGCUCCAAUUCUGAAAUGAACCAGGAUAUGCACUUCAACAAAAAACACUCCAUGAACAAGCAUUAGAAAUGAGGGUCCGCACUGCUGAGUUCCUGAUUUAGCAAGACAAUUCCUUGAAACUCCCCCCCUCAAGAUCCAUUGAUAAUGAAUAUGCACCAAGAAAGAAAGACAUCUGACAUAAGCUGCUUGAGCCUCUCCAUGUUAAAAAGUUCAGCAAUCUUCUCCUUCAUGAUUGGUUUCUACAACUACUCAGAAUCUUGUGCAUAUGCAAAAGACAGCAAUAAUUUUGGGCUUGCUUUGGUGAUUGUGCAUGGAGAUGGCCAACUAUUAACUUGAGAGGCUCUUGACUAAGCAUAUGUAAAAAGCUUCACUGUAUAAAAGACUCAAGAAUCUUCUCCUUCAUGUUUGGAAUUCUACAGUUUUUCAGAUUCUUGAACAUAUGCAAGAAAACAACAUUAGUUUUGGGCUUGCCUUGGCGACUGUGUAUGGAGAUGGCCGAAUAUUAACUCCGAGAGGCCCUCGACUUAGCAUCCCUGAUGCCCUUCCACGAAAGGUGCCACCACGUCCCCGGCCCCAACCACGGCCCCUCCCAUGGCCUCGGCCUCUCCCUCUCUCACCAUUACUGCGCCUUAUCAGAUCAUCCAGUGACAUACUUAAAGAUGUUGCUAUUCAAUAACAGAUCUAGAAAGAUGAUACUAAUAGGAACCUGCAAUUCCAAAAAAUAAGGAACCAUAUUCAAUUUCCUUAACAUUCAGUUUAAAAGGGAAGAAAAAGAGCUAAGAGAUAGAGAUGCAUAAAAUUUUACAAAGAGACUGAAUCAAAAUUUCUUAUGAACGACAAACACUAGCCGCAGAAAAUUACGCAAAACUAAUAAAGACAUAAAACAAAUCUAAAUAGAAACUAUACAUCAGAAAACAGCAAGGCAGUACACCUACAGAAAUUGUUCAAACAUCAAAAGCCUUAUAUUAGGUUAUGAAAACUUAACCUUAAUACAAACAGAACUCAUUAGCAGCUGAAGUAUCGGAACGUACAGCAUCAAGUCCCAAAAUACUAAAUCUGACAAACUCAUUUGAUCAGCCACCACAAAACUUACAACAUUCAGGAACUGAGAACCAUUCUGUGAUCAAUACCAGAAAAAGAGACAUUCCAUGUUUUGGUAGAAAAAAAGAGUGUUCUUUUCUUUGUGUAAUAAUUAAAAAAAAAUGAUGCGCAUGGUUAUAGCCUGGAAGAAGGCACUAUGGUGCCAAAUUUGCAUGGAGGCUCCAAAUAAACAACCAACAAAAAAAGAAAGAAGACAUCCAGAUCAUGAACUGUUUCUACUUUUGAGAAAGGAAAUCUCAGAUCAUUAUGCUGAAAAAGGAAGAAAAACAUACAUAUCAGUGAGGCCCCCUUUUUUUUCACUUCCCACUUUAUUCAUUAGGAUGUCCAUCCUGCUCAUAAACUUUAGACCUGACAAAAAACAGCCUAGCCUAACCAGAUUUUUGUCAGGCCCAUGCUGCAGUUUUAGGCCUGACAGGCCAGGCCGGGCCUCAAUUUUUAAGCACCAUUUGAAAUAGGAUAGGCUCAGGCUCGAUAUUUUUUGACCUAGGCUAGCCUAGCCUAGCCCAAAUAGUAAAUAUACUUUUAUACUUAUACAAUAGUUAUAUAAAAUAUAUCAUUUAUUAGGGGAAAGAUGGGAGGACUGAUGGACAGAAAAGGGAGACUUGGGAAAUCCCUAACUCUCCCCACUCCUCUACCCUCACCAUCACUGCCCCCUAUCCCCGCCUCACCAUCACUUCAUUCAACCUUUAACAUGAUAGAUUCCCCUUGCCGCCUGCAUCCUCUCUCUCCCUCAGCCCCUCCCACCACCCCCUGUUGCAAGGACACCAAAUACAAGAAUCGGAUUUGGAUGUGCAUCCAAGUGUCUGACUCGACAAAAGGGAAAAAGAGAGACACUGGGAUACAUAGGAUAAAAUAUGAUUUUAACCUAAUUAUAAAUUUAUAUCUUUAAAUAUUUUAAACAAUAAAAAGAAACUAUUAAAAGAUAUUGUUUGUUAAGAUUUUCAAUUACAUGUUAUUCAUUCAAACUUCCCGAUUACAUGAUUAACUUACAGAUAUGAGAAAUUUACCAAGUUGUUUCAGCACCUACAUUCUUAAAUAAUCUCUAAAAAUAACAAAUACUCACUCUUAACAUCAAAAUAGAGGAUCAAACUCAUUGUCAGGACCGUUCAACUCUCUAUCAAAUAACUUCCUAAGUAUCCAAGUGUCUGAUACAUUAGCGAUACAUAACCAACACGGUUUUUUUGGAGCUGGACAUGAGUGUCCAAGUGAAACAACCCCCAUGGUGCCUCCCCCCUCUCACCCUCUUCUACCCCAUCCUCUCUUUGCCCCCAUUAACCCUCUGCUAGAUGGAAGAUCAAUGGUGAUAGGCAUGAAAGGGUCCAGACCACAAUAGCCUCCAAAGCCAACCAGCCUUGAAAAGUGCCAGACACACCUUUCUCUCCUUACCCCCCCAAUUCCUGCUUUCUCGUGCUCUCUCCCUCCCUAUACAUCACCGAUCAUCAGAGAAAACCAAGCCACCUAUAGCAGCAGGGCAAUCAAGCCGGGACCAGGCUAGUUCGUCUCAGGCCAACCCAAGUUAGUUAGGCCAAGCCUAACCAACCCAUCUUGCCCAGGUCAAGUCAGGCCGCACCCUUCCUUUUCCGCUAGGCUAAGCUUGGGUCAUAUAUUUCAAAGUCAAAGCGGGGCCAUGUCGAGCUCAGGCUAGUUGUUUUUCUAUUAUCCAGCUUGAACCUAAUUCAGCUCAACUAAUGCACAAGUUCAACAAACUUCCCAUUAGUGAUCCACCUGCAGGGUAUACCUUAAAGGCCAUUUGCAUGUAAUUGUGAGCAUUGUAUGGUCCAUAAUCAUAUAAACAAUAUAGGGUAUGUGUCACACAUCAAUCUUGGAGCUGCAAAAAGCCCACAAGUACUCUAGGGGUUUUAUCCAAGUGGUUGGAGUGUUUACCACGAGAAGGAUCAGAUAUUUCUAAGUGCUCGAAAUGUGUUUACAGCUAUAGGUAAGAUUGUGAUAGCAAAUAUAUGGCUGAUGAGAUGGACAAGGACUUCUUGGAGUCUUUCACCAAGAGUGUCCUUGCACUGACGCUUGGGUAUGCUGUCACAUUGAAUAGUCAACACUGGCACUCCAUCUCGAAAAGCACUGUCAAGGAUUGGGGUGUGAACCAGGUACACCACUUGCAAGUGGUAUCUUGAUCUUAAGCAUAGGACACCUUGCUGUAUUUUGAACGUUACUAAAUUUACAAUCAAACCUAUAUACCGGCAAUGAUACCCUAAACAAUAACCUUGCUAAGCAACAUAGCGGUUUAUUAGAUUCAAAAUGAGUGAGAGUCUAGCUAUCUAACAUCAAGACCACCAUAUGGCACACUAUCCAUACUAGAACAGAGAUGUACUCGAACACAUAAGGCUUGAGGCUACACAAUUACUUAAAAAUUUAAAGAUAAUUAUUUUGGUAAAAUUGUUAUAAUUGAUCAUUAAUUAUUUUCAAAAGAUUUUGUACGAACAAUUUUUUUAAGAAAAAGCGUUUCAUAUGUUAUAGGAUUCUAAUAGACUAUGACAUUCUAUGUCAAAGGGUUUCACCAUGGCUCUCUUUACCACCCCAAACCGUACCGAGGGGGAAUCAAGAUGGUUCCCCCCUUCGAUUCAAAACAACAAGCAAACCGAUCCGAAUGGGAUAGUUUGGAGCAGUACCGACGCAAAGCCUAAUUCGCACCAAUUUUGGCUCCCCCCCCUCUCAUGCUUCAAUAAUAGAUGGGGAAGGCUAAGAAGGCCUCCCGUACCUUCUCAACUGCUCUCUCAUUUAAAAAAAACAAUCUUGAAAAAAAAGGAGAAAAUGUGGGACUUUGCAAGAAUUGAGCCAGAUCUAAGCUAAAAUCAGCUAAUGAGCCUCUCCCCCUCAUUUUUUUUUUCUUUUUUUGUUUAGAGACUAAAAAUUGAUAAUAAAAUGGAAAGAGACCAUGCCAUUUUUUUUAAUUUUAGCAUGAUUUCAUAAUAUGUUAUACUCUUAUAGACCUAUGGAUGAUCUAUACAAUGACACCAAAUGAUAAUUUUCCAUUAACUCUAUGAUUUUUAAUAUUAAAAAAUUAUUUUUAAUUAAAAAUUAAAAAAUAAAAUAAUUAUCAAAAAAACUAUAAAAUCAAUGGCUUGACUAGGGGUAUGCAUGCUAUACUCUAUCAAAAUUUGGUGUCAAUUUAUUUAAGUUUGGACAUGAUCAUACGCAUCAUGACAUGCAUCCAAAUUCAAAUAAAUUUGAAAAAUAAGUGGCAUUUUGUGCAUGCCCACGGGCUAAAAAAAAUAUAUGUAGCAUCCUUGGUGGGGUGUUACACUAUUCCGAAGUCAUUAAUUUUGUGAAUAUUUUCUAUUUAAAAUUGUUUUUGAAAAUAAAAAAUACUAAAUAAUUUCACUCAUAUAUCUAUUCAUCAUAUGUUGUUGUGUAUUUUGAGUACAACUAUCAUGCUAAACUAAAUACAAACUUAUUAUCAGCUAUCUAAACCCAUGGUCCCAAUACAAUGUCCCUAGGGUAGGUAUGGAUGAGAAACUUCUAGCUACCUUAUACAAUAUUACUUAUAAGAUAGAGCCUAAUCUAGGAGUCGUUACCCUAUGUUUGGAAGAGGCGAGCCAAUUUUGUCAACUUUGUCAGCUCAAAUAAAUAAUUGACAUCACAUAACAUAUAUCUUCUCUACAAACGAAAAUGUUUAGAGAGAACUUAGGCAACUUUGGCGACCAACCAGCUAUAGAAAGCAAAUAGAGAAUGAAACCAAUUUUAAGACAUGGACCACAAUUGUUACUUUGAUAUUAUACAAUUAGUAUUCGGUAGCAUCUGAUAUGUAGUUUUCUUAAAUGAUUUUGCAACCGAAUGGUUGAUCCACUUCAACAUAUUAUCCAGGAAUCUAAAACAGCUAGCAAUCCAGAUCCUAUCACAAACGGCCUCCUUCAGUGGUUGUGAACGCAACUGGCCUACCUUUGCUUUCAUACACAGCAAACAGAAAAACUGUCUCAUGCAGAAGUGGUUCAAUGAUCUUGUGUACGUCCACUGCAAUCUGCAUCGUGUAUUGAACAGCAAGCUGAAGUACAACAAUCCACUUCACGACUUCGUGCAUGAUGAAGAGGAUCCGAUGAUUGGUUAACUUAAGGACCAAUAGCAGGAGCCAGAGCUGGAUAAGCCAAAGUCGCCUCCUCGACAAAUCAAUUUUUUGUAGCUCAAUAGACUAUGGUGGAUGCAAAGUAAUAGACAAAACAUACUCCAUGCUCGCUUCUAGCUGAUCAACCAUAGGAGUGGAGGGAAGCCAAUCAUCGCACGGCUUCACGUUGGAGACAUCCUCCUAGUGAUUUGAUCUAGAGUUACUAAGGAGAGGCUACCAUAAUACCCAAUCUAGUCAAAGUAGAGGGCCCAGUCAAUCCUUCCAGCAGAGCCAAGCAUCUAAGGACAUCCAAGAAAAGAAGGCAAGGGCUCAAGCCAACAAGAAAGAAAAAAGGAAAGGCAGCUACACAUCCAUUGGAGAGUUAAGGAGAAGCCUGUUCACUCAGAUUCUGAGACAGAUCAUCCCACCAUAGCAGCAAUGUCGACGGCUUAAGCGAUGAUGCAUCUGGUGGCUAGGAUGAUACAACAGCUUAUGAUUCAUAGUCCUAGGAUAAUCUCUGCUUCACCGAUAUCCCACUUCAGUCAUGCCACAGGAUAAGAACCAUGGUGCACGACUUGGUAAAACCUGCAAGGAUAGCAUUGCGUACAGGAGACAGAUCCCACAAGGUCGUUCAGGACAUAAUGCUGCUACAGAUAAUCGAGCACGUGGAAUAGGAUACCUAGACAUAUCUGGAACCGAGUUGUACAUUGGAUCCUAUUCUACCCGAGCGUCGGCCUCCCUUUCUUUUCCUCUCCCUCUCCCUCUCCCAGCUGCUCGCUCGCUCUCUCUUUUCCUCUUUUCUUCUCCUCCUCUGGCAACGGGUUUCGUUUCCAUUGCCAGAACCGUCCCAAUCUGCCGCCAGGACAGCUUGGUACGAUCGAAACUGCCUGAUUCAGGACAGUUCCACCGACUCUGGUACCAACUAAUUUAACCUGGUCUUAAACUCAAAGAAUCUAAAAUGCUAUCAUGAUUACUUUAAUUCACAAGAAAAAGAUACAUAUAACAAAAUCCCAACUUAAUUGCUACUUUGAAAAGAUAACCAUCCAAAAACUACUAAGAUCUAGUAGAGCCUCCAUCGAACUCCAUUAAUCUACUCCUUAGAAGUUAUCAAGAAAAAUCUACAUGUUAAUAAGCCAAUUGUUGAAGUCCCCCCCCCUCCUCUCAAUAUUUCAAUAAAACAUAUAAAGUACAUUUAAAUGCUAAAUUUUGAACUUCAGUAUUCAACAAUACUAUUCUAGAUCACCCCACCACCAAAAUUACCAUUUGAACUUCCCUCUUCAGUAUGAAUCUCCAAUGAUGAGCUACAAGAAUACAUACAAACUCCAUAUAGAAGAUCUAUUACACAUAAGCAAGUUGGAAUAUUGAGGAAAAUCAAGAAUAUUAUUAGAAUUAGGAUUUUUGUUAAUUUUUUGGUCUUUUGAGUCAACUAUAAUUCAAAAGGUAUAACUUUAGUUAUACAGUAAGCUGACUCUAAGAUUGAGUCCUACAAGUUUUAUGUUUUGAGAUUUAGCUUGGUUGGUCAUUAUGAGGGUCAAAAGUUGGCUUAAAUUUUCAAAAUGGGAUAAGUGUUAAGUUUGUGUCAUUUUAGGAAAUUUUUCAUGUAGUUUUUGGGUUGAAUUAGAAGUCCUAGGUUGUUAUUGGUUAGGAAAUUAUUUUAAGUGUCCUAGUUGAUUCACGUGUAGUUCUAUAAAUUGUCAUUAUAGAUUGCAGAAGCCAUACAUACGAAUUUAUUGAUGUAUUUUCUCUAAAUUAUGAAUAAAUUUCUUCUCAUGGUUGAUUCGAUGAAAUCUAGGGUCACUCCUUAGAUUCCUGUCCUUACUCAUUUGUCUUAUUUGGUACCGCAGCCUCGUCAAGUGCUCGUGGAGUCAUGGACAUGUUUGAGCGUGAAAGAACCAAUGCCGAUCAAAGAGAAAGUUGUGAGAAAUCCAUUGCACCGAUUGAUGGGAUCGUGAGUCGUCUAGAGUUCAUGCAACUCACAACAUGUUGUCACUGACUUAGCUAACCGGUUGAAGCAAUCUGGGAUUCUUAGACCUAGUAACACUCUAGUUAAUUGACAUGAUCGGUGAUCUCCUUAUGACCUCAAAUUUCCUUACAAGGAAUCAUACAAAUUGGAGAGAGAGAAUUUUUUGGAUGAGACGUACAAUGGGUGGUCGGUUGUGCAAUAUGAUCAUCAACAUAUGAUCACUUGGAAAUUGCAUGUGGUGGAGCCACAUCCAAAGCCUUAUCAAACAUGCACAACACCUACUCCAAUUUCAACGAAGUCAAUAUGCAAGAAAGAUGAAGACAAACAAGUUUCAGCUAUUGAUGAAGAAAUUGAAGACAAUCGUGUAAAUUACAAGGUUCAUCACAUCACAGCCAAUCAAGUUGAAGCCCCUCAAGUAGAAGAAAUUCAUAAAAAGAUAACAGAAAAAUCAAGUGGCCUACAAGUUGAGGAAUCAUCAUGCAGAGCAUCUCAUUAACCAAUAUCUUUAGUUACGCAGGAUGAAUAUGAAGAUCCCUUCGUAAUGUUCUUUUUGAAGAACUCAUCAAUUGGAGUACUACUAGCAUCUUAUGGCUUUCAAUGCAAUUUUUUAUCAUAUAGUUCACUGACUUGAAGCAUAAAGAGCAUAACAAAUCAUCCUUCAAAUUAUCAAAUCUGUGCAAGAACUAAUUUGUAUACACCAUUAUGAGUCCUUACAAUGAGCCAAAAGAAAACUUAGUUUGAUCCCACAGACACUAGGACUCCCUAAUAUAUCCAGUGGUGGACAGAACAUAUAAAACCAUUGCUUUUGACAACUGGAUGGGUAAAAGGAGCAAAGGCCUAUCUAGUCCAUAUAGAACAUUAUAGCAAGCAUACGGCUUCACUCUUUCUCACUUAAGAUGAUGUCGCACCCAAUUACAUGGUUGGCUCCUUUUAUGGCUGAAUGCCUAAGGCUGCUGACUUGGCAAAAUCAAAGCAGGGAACUAAACCUUAGAGACCAUUUCUAGAUCUAAUCUAGGUUGUCCAUCAACUAGACACUUAAAUUAAUCAAAAUAACCAAUCUAAACACCUAAAAUAUCAGAUCUAAGAUUGGCAAUAACUGAAAAUAAGAAAAAUUAAACA